RNAcentral lists this long non-coding RNA (84012 nucleotides) under Solanum tuberosum (potato). RNAcentral's name for it is "long non-coding RNA (STUB_LNC003793)". The stretch from base 35929 to 36123 matches the Rfam family "MIR159 microRNA precursor family". Lineage: Eukaryota; Viridiplantae; Streptophyta; Magnoliopsida; Solanales; Solanaceae. The record is from RNAcentral.
AAGAAGUAAGUGCUAGAGAUGUGGUGUGAUGUUUUGCAUUCAAGGCCUUUGGUAAAGCUACUAAAGGUAGAUCCAGGGGGUUUCAAAUAAAUCACAAUAUACAGAGCAUCAACAGUGCCAACCAAUGUAUGUGACAAUCAAAGGAGAGCUAAAAGUUUGAAGAAGCAUUUUGGCAAGGUGCAGGUUAAUAUCACUUUUCAUUAUGCAGCCGUGAGUAUCUGCUGCAAAACCUUACCUAUCAGAAGUUGUUUCUCAAAACAAAUUAAAAAAAGAAAUCUCACAAACCAAAAAAAAAAAAAAAAUCACGAAUAAAGGAAAUAAAACAGGAUAAAGCUCAAAGAAUUCCUUUAACUGAAUACAUAGCUCUAGUGCUCGACAAGCUACUCAAAUUUAACCUAGCACAUAAGCAAUUAAAAUAGUUAUAUUUGAUUUAAUAAUUCUAUUCUAAAUUAAAAAUGAAUAAGUAAAUAAACAAAAACCAACAUGGUCAAACCCAAAUAGCUCACAGAAAGGCCUCCCUAAGUUAACAACCCAAGUCUAGUUUCCUUCUGUCUUAGCUAUCCACUCAUCACUUGGUAUAUCUCACUAUCUUUUCGAUAAAUCCCAAAUUUCUAUAUACUUUUCAUGAAUCGUGAUUUUUUUCCUUUUAAUUAAGCUUUGAACAUUGUACUAUUUAAAAGUUACACACUGGUCACAGGUUAUGAAAUUCGUUGUUCUUUUUCUCUUUCAUUUUACACUUGGUAAACCUGACUCCUUUCCCACAAACCCCCUCUAUCUUUCCCACUUUUUUCCUUGGUGACGGGAACACCACCCUCAAGGUUGUAGGUGGAGAAUACUUUCUACUAGGCUAUCCCUACCUUAUCCUCAUGAAAUUUGACCUUGCAACUUAAAUUCUUGUCCCUCGAUCACCAGUUUUAUAAUAUAAAUUUCAGGUUUUGAGAUGUUCAAAUAUGUUUUCACACACUUCAAUGAACAGUAAUGCUUUAUACAACUAAUCAUGGGGUUCAAGCAUUCAAAUACUCAAAAUUUCCUUUCGCAACAACCUGCAUAAAAUGUUACUCAAAUUGAAAUGACUUCUUAAGACCUUAAUUAUAUCACAUAAAAAUUGGACCAUGAGAUAUGAUCUCUAGUAAUCUACCCUUACGAGUAUGUCACAGCCAAACUAAGAUACUGAAAUGGAACUAUGUAUCAGUAUAGCUACUCGCAUUAGGUUACUGAGCUAGUGGCAUUGGUGUACCUAACUGAAGCUUUCACAAAUUCCUGCACCAAACAACCCUUGCCAAAAUCAAAACAAACUAUAAAACACUUCACUUAGAAAAAGACUAGAGUAACUCAGGACAGUAUUUGCCAAUUGAACCCCACAGAAGUUAAGUUCAAUUGGCAAAGGUUGAGGAACUAGUGUCUUAGGCCACAAGUUUGAGCCUUGCGCCAAGUGAACUAAUUCUGGUGUUUAAGUGGAGAAGGGUAGAGUGCAGGCCCAUCAUCUCCGAGUUUCUGGGGCUGCAGUAGGCCUAAUAGGUUGGCUCCAGACAGAUUUCUCAAUCAUUAAAAAAAACACCCAGGACAGUAAAAAGGAUUGAACCAUAUAGUCACUAAGCGCUUGUCUCAAAAAUUGGAAGAAUCGUUCAUAGGGUUUUGAAGCUUCAUAUCUGACAUUUAUAGUAAUAGAUUUACUUCCUUUACUCAACCACUUAAUCUAUGGUAUGGAGUUCAAUCAAGUACCCUGUUCCUUUACAAAAAUGCUUCCUGCACUUAUUAAGUAGAACAGCAAAUGGAGGGUUCGAGGUCUUUAAAAUCUGUCUUACAGUUAUAACAAGAAAAAACAAGUAGAAGUGGUAGAUGGAGAAAUAAGUUCCUGAUUAUGUACCAUUGCAGUAUUCUUGGAGAUUGGCAACAGCAACUUCCAGUCCUCUACUCGCAGUUGCAUUACCGACAGCUGAUGAGAUGGUCAUGGCUUGUCCUCCAAUAUCAUCCUCAGCAAAUGAUCCUAGUAUGUAUGUGGAAAGAUAUGUCACUCUUCAUAAAAAUCAAGGAAAAUGAAGAAAAGAAGUCCUAACAUGAAGAUCCCUGGAAAAGAAGAAUAUUACUGAAUGUAACUGCAACUAGAAGAAGACACUAUUGUUACACUCUUGUAUACCAAGAAAGAAAUCAAAGUCAAGUCCAUUUCUUUUAUCUAAAGAGGAACAUCACGGAAGGAAAGGAUAAGAAAUCCUCAAACAAAAAAGAGCAUUGUGUAAAGUGCAUGCCUCAGUAGAAUUAAGAUAUUAAAAAACUAAGUCUAAAAUAAUACGAGCAAUAAGAAGAAUGAAUAGUGAUUGAGACAAUGGGUCACUGACCAGGACCUGCAAAAUCCAACUGUCACACUAUACCACUCUCAGAUGCGCCCCUCCAGUGGAGAAUUUAUGUGUAAAAAAAGAGUCAUGUGAACCCAUGGUCAUCUGACUAAAAUAGAUUUAUUAUUUGUUAUAAUACUUAAAUAUAUCUAGUAUUAUCUGAAGGCACAAUCAAAAGAGAUUGAGUGGUUCACUGGUUGAGAGCUAGUCCUAACUCCAUCAAGUCAAGGGAUCAAAUCCCACUUACUGCCAUUUGUUUCUUUUUUUUAAAAAAAUCUAGAGCAGCCUUCCUUAUAAAACUGCCCCCUUCAUUUUUGUUUUUUUAAUAUCUCUGAUGAUAUUUUUUGUGAUAAUAUAAUUAAUUAUUUGCUCGCCAAGUUGUUGUCAUCAUAACAUAAAAACUUAAUUUUUUUUUAAGAAAAAAACAAAAGAUAUGAAUCCUCUAGUCCAAUUGUUCCUUUGAAAUUUAUAUCUAAUCUUUAAACAAUGGUGCACCCGUUGUCUUGAAUCCUGGAUUCAUCUCUAGCCUGCCCAAUCCUCAAAAGAGAACGUAAAAAGGAAACGAGCAGCAGGAUAUUCGCAUCAGCUAUUCUAUUAUGCUAUUUACCAUAAAUAUGACAAAUCCCUCAGUAAUGGAAAACAUCUGCAGAAUGCAAACCACUACACAUUUUAAGGCACUGGGCCAAAAUAAUUUGUCGUUCACAAAGUCUCGUAUGAUUAUGAGAUGAUAAUACAGAGAUACAGAUCUUAUGCCAUGGAAACCUCAUGGGAAGACAAAGUGUUAGCUUUGGGUAGUCUAGGAAGGAAAAUCUAAAUCCAGGGUCUACACAGGAAAGAGAGAACCCUGCUUCAGGCUGCUCUAUGCAUUGCUGAUUUUUUUCAUUUUUAGGAAAAGGGAACUGAACCGGAAAAGAAAGAGGACAAAGACAAGAUAGAGAGAAAAUAAAGAGAUUAGAUUCAGGACACUGCUAUAGAACUCUAAAUUUGAAGUCUACUAUAUAAACUGUAAAUUAAAAUUUCAAGGAAAAAAAAAAGGCUAAUGACAUGUUGGCAUCUUUCUUAAAACUAAGAAGCAGACGAUUUUCUUCACUUUAUACAUCGACUAGUAGGUAAUAAACACAAGGAGUUAAUACAAUUGACAGCUGAAACAAUCAUGGGAAAAAAAUUUAGGUAAAGCAAGUGUGAUGUUUACAACAUGAGAAUAUCGAGGAAGCAUAUGGAUCUCACUUAAUUUUUGAGCAAUUGAAGCAGCUUCCGCAACACGACUAUCAUCAGAAAAUAAAGGAGAAAGUUCCAUCAGGUCUCCUGGACUGCCAUUGAACUCCAUCAAGUACUAUCAAAGGAAGCAACUAAUACUGUCAGUUUUAAAAUGAGGAUAGAACUUGUUUUACAGCAUGAACGAAGUAAGUCAGAAGUUCUUUCGUUAACCGAGAAGUUAACCAGUAAAAGUUUACCUUUAUGAGCUCUAUCGUCUGACUAGCAACUUCUCUCUGAGCAUCUGCACUCUGAACACAAAAGGAGAUUCAAUAUAUUCUGAAAAUACUAACAGCAUUCUCUGAUGACAUGGUCUUAAACAGCUUGGAAAACAGAUCAACAUAAAAAUUAUGGAGUUGAGCAAAAGAUUCUCUUUCUUUCUACUCAUAAAAGUAGGCAUUUCAUUAUCAGUAGGAGAAACACACAGUAAAAGUGGAAGAAUAUUUUUCUGGAAAAAAAAACAAGUUGCACUUGACCAUAAAAUAAAAACAUUAACCUUAAUCAAGCAUCAAAACAAGUGCUUACAAGACUUUCAAAAUACAAAGAAGGUAUUAAGCAGCUAUACCUGUAGAUGAUCUCCUAUUUUGGCAGCCGUUUGACCCACACUAGAUAUACGCAAGUCCAACCGUGCAAAGCUAUCAAACAAGCCGUCUACACCUUUUUCCAGCUGCACAAUGCAAUGUUCUUAAACUUGAGGCCUUUAUUUAGGUAAAAAGAAGCUCCACACAGCAUGAAGGAUAUUGAACACCUUUGGAAGUACACAGGGAAGAGAGAGACACUGAUCGAAACAAGUGGAUCAACUCUCAUUUUCAUAAAACAAAUUUCAGAAGUAUAUUGAAAACAGCCCCAUACAUACUGUGAUUUAAAAUGUUACUCAACAUCAUUUUGUCAUUAUUUAUUCUAUCAAGACACUUAUUAUGGGGCAGAGUACAACACAAUGAGGUAAUUUAUUACAAAGAUAUUUUCCAGAAAAAAUAUUUCCGAUGACUGAAAUAUUAACUUCAUCUCAUAAUGGCCACGAUACUGAAUUCAAUACACUAACCUCAGAAAGUGUCUUCCGGUGCUCUGAAUCUUGGACAACAACUUCCUUUUUAAGAUCACUAAGGUUCCCAUCAAUCUUUGAUUAAAUAUGAGGGGAUUAGAAUAAAAGUCAUCAGCAAAAGUAUUAUCUCACUGAAUCCACAUAUAAUGCUUUACCAUACCUGUUUUCUUAGAUCAACCAAUUGUUUACAAGAAUUCUUAAAUAAGGAUAAUAAAGCAUUAACUUCAGGGAAUAGGGGACUUGACAGUCCUUGUGCUGACUUUCCCGCAUCUGGUGGUGCUCGCAAAUUCCCAUUUGGUAGAGCAUCACUUCCAACACCAUUUCCAUGCCCUUCCGCAGAAUCUGAUUCUUCUUCUUGAUAAGAAGGCAAUAUCUCAUUCACCAAGUUACCAAACAAGCCAUCAAAGGAGAAAGCCCCCUGCAUUUAGUAAAUAGAGCACAUUGCUGUCAGUUAACUACAAAAUUUCUAAAGCUUAAGUUGGGAUAAUCUUCCAGUCAAAUUAAAUGGUAUCCAAGGCAUCACCUUAAAAUCAUCUAUGUCAAGAACAAGCGGAUCAGAGUCGGCAGAUGCAGAUCCUGAAAACCUGUCAGCCGUCAUUCCAUCUCUAGACUCUCUCAUCUAUUCUAAGUCAAAAGAAAAUGGAACCAGAAAUUAUCUCAGUCAUCUUCACUAAAUAACUGGAUUGCAAUCAUUUGACAAGCAGGAAAACAAAGUUAAAAAGUAGCAUAAAGUUGGUGUACAACAGAAGAACUGUGAUCAGUCCUCAUUUAUUCAUUGAAAACAGCUAUAUGACAGACAAGUAACGAAGAAACAGGUAGCAACAAAAAAAAGUGAAUUUUUUACUAAUAUAAAUUAUGCAAGGGAAAAACAAAAGCCGCAAGACUUUCAGCAAUUUCAUACAAAAUCAAAAUUCAGAUGAGAUAUAAGUGUGCAUAUUUGCCAUAUCCAUUAACUACUAGAUCUGCUCUAGACUAACCUUAUACUGAGCAGGGACACUUUUUUACCGAUUAAAUUCUAAUUUUAUUAAUAAGGGAGAAAAACUCCCGUAUAUGAGAGGUAUACCAAAAAGAGUAACGAAUAUAGAAAGAUAUGAUUCUCUACGAAAGACAUCCAAUAUUCUACAGAAAUGAGAACUUCAUAGGUGCAAGCAAAAGACAUUAAAAACAUGAGGUAACCUCAAAUGUACAAAAUCAAGCUUUUUCCCUACAAAAACUCUCUUAUUUCUCUCCCUCCAUAUUGUCCAUAUGAGUGCUUAUGAAACAACAUGCCAUGUCUAGUACCUGGCAUAGUCCAUUGUAUCAUGAACUAUCUUGAGAUCUCCCACCCAUACUCGUGAUGCUCCCUGACAAUUCAGUAAGAGAUGAUCCACAUCCUCUUCUAAGUGUUUACCCUUGUGCACAAACCAACAUAUGUAAUCAGAAUCCUACUCUUUCUCAAGUUUUCAACCAUCAGAAUCACACCUCUAACCGCCAACCAAGAAAACAAAAUUCAUCUUUCUUGGCACCAUGGGGAUUCAAACUAAUAGAUGAAGGAAACUUGAUUUCUCAAACUAGAAAUGUACAACAAUAACUCCUCACUGAGCAGGAACAGAUAUUUGUUCUUACAUCACCUUCAACUAAAUUCUGAUGUCUCAUUUAAAACAACCAAUACCUUAUAGCACUCAUCCUGAUGUUAUGGAUAUCAAUGAUACAUGUGUUCUUUUUUUAAACUGGUAACAUUUGUAUUUCAUAUAGUACUUAGGUAGUACUGAAAAACAUAUUUAUUUACAAAAGCAGAAAGGAAGUAUAAUCUAUCCAAAAACUGAACCAAAUCUAAAUGGAUCCUAAAACAUCUAUGAUUGACUCAGUUUCAUUGGAGUAGACAUUUGUACACCAAAAGCAAAACAACAAAAUACACUUGAGCUUUACUUCCUGGAGGUUGUUGUUCCUAUUCUCAAAAUAUCUAUCGUUCUCUCCCUCCAUAUAGUCCACCAAAUACUUUUUUGAAACUGGUAACAUUUGUAUUUCAUAUAGUACUUAGGUAGUACUGAAAAACAUAUUUAUUUACAAAAGCAGAAAGGAAGUAUAAUCUAUCCAAAAACUGAACCAAAUCUAAACGGACCCUAAAACAUCAUGAUUGACUCAGUUUCAUUGGAGUAGACAUUUGUACACCAAAAGCAAAACAACAAAAUACACUUGAGCUUUACUUCCUGGAGGUUGUUGUUCCUAUUCUCAAAAUAUCUAUCGUUCUCUCCCUCCAUAUAGUCCACCAAAAACAAGCAGGGAUCAUCCUCCAUCUUUCUCUGUUUGUAGCCCCCAACUCCCAGCCAUCUCCCAACUGAAUAGAGUCUCAUCAAUCUUGCUAGGCAUUCUCCAAGAUAUGCCUCUGAGAUUAAGGAAAAUCUGCCACAGCUGCCCAGUAAAGUUGCAAUGUAAGAAGAGAUGUCUCACUGUCUCAUUAGCCUUACCACAUAAGGAACGUCUGUUGCAUAGAGAGAUUCCUCUCUUGGCCACAUUAUCCAAUGUCAAAACUGCUUCAUUGGCUAGUAGCCAUGUAAAGCAUGCCACUUUGUGUGGCACUUUGAUCCUCCAGAUUUGCUUCCAAGGCCAUUUGAAGCCUUGAAUGCCACCAAACUUAUUUGUUUGUAUCCUUCUUUCACCUUGUAACUACCUUUGUUGUGCCCCUGCCACCAUAAAUAAUCCUCACUUGUUUGUAUACCUUGGAAAUUCUCUAGAACCUUAAACAGUUCAAGUAUUCUGGGAAUUUCUUAGUCAUUCAGAUUUCUUCUAAGGAUCAGAUCCCAGCCUUGUUGUGUCCACAUUUCAGCGACAGUCUUCUGUUGGUGUUGAGCCAAUGUAAAGAUGUCAAGAAAACGAUCUUUGAGGCUCAUACCACCCAUCCAUUUAUCAAACCAAAAACUGGUUUUUCUGCCAUUUUGUACCUUGACAAUUGACUGAUUACUCAGGAAAGGCCAAAAUAUUCUGGUGGAUUUCCAAAGGCUAAUCCCAUAGGGGGUAUUUACCUCUUUGGUUACCCAUUUAUUCAGCUCCUCAUACUUGUUGUUGAUCACCCUAUACCAUAGUGCUUGAUCCUCCUGGUGGUACCUCCAUAACCAUUUCACCUUAAGAGCUUUGCUAUGGUUUUUGAGAUUCUUGAUACCUAAUCCACCUUGCAUCUUACUUCUGAUGAUGUGUUCUUCCACUUGACUAAGUGAAAGCCUUUUCUUUCCUUAUUUCCUUGCCACAGGAAGUUUUUUCUAAUCUAGUCCAACUUCUGAACUACUGACUGGGGAAUAUGGAAGAGCAUUUAGAACCAGAGUUUAUCAGAGUUAAUCUACCUCCCAAAGAGAGGUAUUGUGAUCUCCAUCUAGCUAGUGUCUUUUCGCAUUUCUCCAAUAUUGGGUUCCAAAUGUCUAUGGAUCCCGACUUUGCCCCCAAAGGCAUGCCCAAGUAUACUGAUGGCAGAGUACCUAUCACUCCUCCCCAAGGUUUGUGAGAGGUGUUCCAUAUCUGGAACCACAUUAAUUGGAUACAAAUGGCUUUUGUUCUAGUUUAUAUGUAGUCCAGAUAUGGCUUCAAAGUAAACUAGUAUAAGUCUCAAAAUCAGCAAUUGCUCCUCCUCAGCCCCACAAAUAAUUAGUGCAUCAUCGGCAUACUGCAGGUGUGUGAUCUCCACACUAUUCCCAGCAACCUUACUGACUUCAAAUCCAUGUAUUCUUCCUGUUGUCUUGGCUAUCUUCAACAUAUUGUUAAGCCCCUCCAUAGCUACGAUCAACAGGAAGGGUGAUAAGGGAUCCCCUUGCCUGAUUCCUCUGUGUGCACUGAAAAAGCCUUCAGGAGAUCCAUUGUUGAGUACUGAAAACUUAACAGUUGAAAUACAAAACUUGAUCCAAAGGAUCCAUCUGCUACCAAAUCCCAUCUGUCUCAACAUAAAUAGAAUGAAAUCCCAAUUCACAUGGUCAUAUGCUUUCUCAAUAUCAAGUUUGCAUAGUAUACCAGGUUUCUUCUGGGACACUCUAGAAUCAAUUGCUUCGUUAGCUAUAAGCACUGCAUCCAUUAUCUGUUUGCCUCUAAUAAAAGCCAUCUGUUGUUUGUCUACCAACUUAUUCACAACUCUCUUCAACCUUUCUGUCAAAACCUUGGGCAUUAGCUUAUAGAAGCUUCCAAUUAAGCUGAUGGGUCUGAAGUCAUUGAGUUCCUUUGCUCCUAUCUUCUUGGGAAUCAGUGUUAUGUAGGUUGCAUAAUAGCUCUUUUCAAACAUCCAGUUGACUGAAAAUUGUGGAAAGCCCCCAUAAUGUCAUGUUUAAUGAUCUCCCAGCAAUUAAAAAAAAAAAAACCAUUGUGUAUCCAUCAGCACAGGGGCUUUGUCUAUAGCACACAUUUUUAAACACUCAAGUACUUCUUGUUCCUCAAAAUCUGCCAGCCACCCUCUGUAUUGGUAGGAUGAUAAUGAUACAUGUGUUCUCAAAAAGCAUCUAACCAUCUAUAGGCUUAUUCCUAGUUCGAAGAAAUUCCAAGGUGAUUCAUAAAAGACUUGAAUCAGCCCUUGUCGCUAAUAGGAUAGCAUGUUCACAACUGCCAGAAUAAGUUAUACUUCUAGGCCAAUCAAACUCACAUGCUGGUGGCAAAGCAAAAUCACAACAUUAAAUAUCAGUGGCACUUGCUAUUAUUAUAAAAAAUUUGCCUAUGUGAGCUCGCUCACAUUGCGGUCCCAAGCCAGGAUAAAGGAAGAGAGUGGUCAAUCCGAAGCAGCCUCUCUACCCUAUAAAGGUAGGGGUGAGGUUGCGUACAUCUUACCCUCUCCAGAUCCCACUUGUGAGAUUACACCGGGUUUGUUAUUCUUGUUGUUGUUGUACUUAGUAUUAUUAUAAAAAUAGAAGGUUGUGAUUAGUCCAAAGGGCGGCGGAUCACAGACGGAUUUCUCGGUUAUCAAAAAAAAAAUAGAAAUAAUGGAGAUGGAAAGCUGAAAUGGCAUAUGACCAUGUAAUUGACAAUUCCCACCAAAGUUGUAAGAUCCAUCGGCAUUGUCAAAUAUAGUCUGGUUGGAGUAAGCUUGUAUCUUAUCUUUCAAACUAAUUACCAACCGCAUACCUAGCAAGCGAUUCCUCCCCUCUUUGUAUGGAAAAGCUUUUAAAAGCCUAUUAGUUAGUAUUAGUAACAAAACUAGUUAAGGGGUUCGUAGUUGUCGCAAUCGGUUAAUUUAGUUGAUCUUGGCUUUGCAGCAAGGAGACCCUUUUCUUGUAUAGCUUCUAAAGGUUCCUUUUAGUUUCUCUUGGCUUUGAGACAAUAUCCUUUAUUUUAUUUUUUUAUAAGACAAGUUCUAUUAAAAAGGUACCAAUAUGGAACAAAAUUUAAAAAAAAACCCAGCAAUAACCACAACAAGGUAACUACAUUCCUCCCAUCUACUCUAGAAAAAACAUAUAUUGUUCCAUAUUUUUCUAUAACAUGUCUUUUAGACCAUAAAUACAAAGUUAAUAAGCAUCUAUUUUUAAUCCCGGAUACAUGAUGCAUUUACCCUUCAAAGAAAAUUCUAUUUCUUUCCAACCAUAUUGUCCAUAAAAAACAGAGAAAUUUUUCUCCAUACUAUCUUUUGUUUUUUGCCAUUGUUUGGUGUUGCCAUGUCUCCAACAAACUCUUUAUACCUGAAGACAUUUCCCACUUGACACCAUAUAUGUUUAGGAAGAUCUCUCAGCACUGUCUUACCACUUUGCAAUGAAUGAGUAUAUGAUUAACCGUAUCUGCUUCUUUUCACAUGUAACACCUAUUACAUAGAAUACUUCCUCUCUAAUGCAAGUUCUCCUAAGUUAUGCAAGCUUCCUUUGUUGCAAUCCAACUAAAACAAGCUACUUUAACUGAUGCUUUUGGAUUUCCAUAAAUUACUGAUUGUGAUAAAGCCCUUGUUAUUUUUGUAACAGACUAUAACAUCAGUUGACUGUGAAAAUACCAUCAUUGCUUGCUUCCCAGAUUAAUGAGUCUUUCAUGUUGUCCUCCAAUCUAGUGUCAUCAAAAGCAAAAAGUGCAAAAAAAAAGCUCUAAGGCAUGUUGGGGCUUUGAGUGCAAACCGCAAAUGAAAAGUGAGCUUUAAUGAAAAAAGGCGCAAAGGGAGACUCAAUACAAAUACAUAAAUGUUUAGUUCAAAACUAAUAAUUAUAAGUAUGAAUGACAAAUAUAUGAACAACGAAAUAUUAAAAAAGAAUUAGGAUAAAGUGAAAUAUCAAUUGUUUAGGGUCGCCUCUUCUGAAGAAACUCAUUGGCAAGGAAAAGUAUGUCUCAAAACGUUGAUGAUGACAUUGAAGCGCACAUUAAGCGAGGCGAAGCACUCAACACGUUCUGAGCCUCGCUUCAGGACUUAAGCGUGCCUUCGACAACACAGCUCCAAUCCAGUGUCCAAUAAUUGCAUCAAUCAAGCAAAUUCAUAUACUUCCCAUUGAGAGACCCCUCCUAAAGAUAAGCUGUCAACCAAUGCUUUAGUACAAGUCAGAUACCUUUCAUUUUGUUUGUGGAGCAGCUAUACAAAACAAAGAACUUUGAUCUAAAACUUUCACUUCCCAGCCAUACAUCAGACAAGAGUUGGGCAUUAUUAACAUUCCCUAGUUUCAGUUUCACAAACUGAUUAUAUUGAUUCAUUAAAUUACUGAUUGUGCUCCACACUCCCCACUUAAAAGAAGAUUUAACUGAGCAUGGAGCCCACAUGUCUUUCCAACCACACUUGGCAUCUAUCAACUGUUUCCAUGAUUUUUGCUGUCAUCAUUAUAUCUCCAAAGCCGUUUAAAUAAAAGGCUCUUGUUAUGCAACUUUAGAUUCCUCACUCUCACCCCCUCUUGGAACAAGGGACCUACUUCUCAUCCUAGGAGUAAGCAGGUAGAAAGAAUCCCCUCUCUUUUUUUUUGUUUUCUUUCAUUUGACCAAAUGGAACUUUUGUUAUCAACAAUGUUAUCAACAAUGCCUUCCCACAGAAAUUUCUACCUCUUAGUAAUCAACUUCUUCUCCACUGCUGUUGGCAUUUUAAGAGAGACAUCAAAUAAAUCGGUAUACCAUCCAUGACACUGUUGAUCAGUGCAUGUCAACCCCCAAAAGAUAAAUGUUGUCUCCCAUGGCACCAGUUUACUGCUACACCUAUCCAGGACCCCUAUCACAUCUUUGAAUUCUGUUUGCCUCCAGGUGGUAGGCCUAAAUAGAUGGUUGGUAGUUGCUCCACCUUACAGCCCAUGACAUCUGUCAGAUCAUCAAUACAAUGCUCAACACUAAUACUAAACACAUUAUUCUUGGUUCAAUUACAAGCCUGAUACAACCUCAAAAGCUAGUAAUACUCCUCUGAGAUGUAAGAGUUUAUCUUUUUUAGCCUAUGCUUCUUUAGCUUAUUCUAUUUAUUAUAAGUCUUGAGCAAGAUGUUGAAGAAGCCAUUGUCGACAGAUUACUCUCUAAAUUACAAGCCAAAGAUGAACAAUGUACUGUCCCAAGAUUGAGGAUUGCGGAAAUCUGAUAACCAUCAUCUAUUUACUUUUUCGCUAACAGUGCAUACUUCCUGUACCUUAGAUGAGUACAAAUGCUGAAUGGCACUUAAUGUUGCAUCAGAGUUGCGUUGAGAUUACGCGUCAUACACAUAACAUAAGUUCAUUCUGAUUAAUGAUGUUUCAAAUAUCCAAAAUCUUGCUAGUCUUUAGGGGUUGUGAGUAUCUGCAUCUCCAUCUAGGCUCUAGAUGCAGCACUAAGGUUUUGGUUCCUAUGAGUUCAAAUUUUGGCAGAAUGAUGGCUGCCUUGGGAAAAUCAUACCUUUCUAGCAAAAGUAAGUCAUUGUGCAAACCUACGUGUGAAAAAGUAAUAAUGCCUCUAGAAUAACUGAAGGGAAAAGAGAUAUUACUUAAUAGUAGAGUGAAGACAAUACUCUCCUCACCGUGGGUAAUUUGGGUAUUAGAUUCUGUCAUCCUUCAAGUAGGCAAGUGAUUGUUGAUGAUUUUGGAUAUCCUCCAACAAACAGAGAGUAAGUGGAGGGGAGUAGCUGCAAUGUACUACGGGACUAAAACAUAUGACUGCCAUUCUUUAGCAUUUUCUACAUCUUAAGUUAGUGGAGUAUGGAGAGUUUUUCUUCUUCUUCUUUUGGGUAAGUAGUGUAGUGGACUAUGGAGAGGAAUUAUUGAGGGAAAAUUGAGUUCUCCAAGUUCAAUAAUUUCAUGGUAGAAGCAAACUUUGAAUUUGGCUUAUCAACUCAGUGUCAAAGACUCUUCCGGUGGAUUCUCUCAAUUUUCAUUUUUAAUCAUCCCUCAAUGUGUGAAGUGAAAGACACGAAAAGUCCCCUUGCAAUAAGCUCUCAACACCAAGAAGUAUGUCCACAUGACAUGUUGGUGAUAGUAGAAAAUGGCAUGUGGUGAGCAAGGACAAAAGAAAUGCAUUGGAACCCCUUUACAUGUUCUGGUCAUUUUGGAUGGAAGAAAUAGAAAUGAUUUUAAUGCUAUUGAAAGUCUCAAUUGGGAAUCAAAGGGCUCCAUUUAUUUCUUAUCUAAAUACAUAAUGUUGAAAUGUCUAGAUGGACAGAUACGUGACAGCAUAGCUUUGUAAAUCGUAAGACCAUCUUUAGCAGCAUCGCCUUCUCCUUCUGAUUUCCAUACAUCUCAAUAUAGGAGUCGGUUUAAGGCACAUACUCCGAGCUACUCAAUUUAAAGUGCAAUAUGCCAUUGUUCCUUCCCACCUUUUAAGCUGGUUGGGAGUUUAUAAUAUUGGCUAAUUUCAAGUUUCAGCAUCAUCCUUUCUCUUGGAAUAUCCUAGGAUUGCAAAUUCCGUCGUCCUAUUUAUCUUUUUUAAUUAAGGUAAAUUAUUUUACUAAUAAUGGGAAAAUCUCUGGUAUAUAAGCAAUAAAUAUACCAAAAAGUAGAGAAUUUACAACAUUUGUUGUCCUAUUUAUCUUAGGGUCGCAGAGAUUUAAUUUACGCUAUGUUUGGUGAAAUAAUAAAAUCUUCAGAUAUCCAAAAACUAGCAAUUUCAGAAGAUAAAGCCGCAAAUUCCUUCCUCUUUUAAGAACCUGAUCUGUUUCCCAAUAACUGGAGAAUACUAGACACUGCCACUUCAGUGGAAGUAGUAGAUGAGAUAUCAUCACCGCGUCACUCAACAUCAGAGCAAUUAUUAACAGGCAAAAAGAAGAAACACAGAAUAUAAGCAUAAAAAACUCCACCUAGCAGCAACAUGUACAUCAAAAAUAGCUAACAUCAAGAUGUCCAUAGUAAAGCAAAAUUAAGGAACCAACUGUUUUACUCCAAUUUCAAUCUAGAACAAAGAUGUGAGCAAGAGAAAUUAUUUAACAUAUAUAGUUGCAAUAGCAGAGAUCAACUAACGAAAUUAUAAUAAUAUCUUACUUAACGACUCAGAUGUGAAGCUGAAGAGUAUUAUUCCUCACAACAGACUUAGAAAACUAAAAGUUUCAGAUUCAAACCCUUCAAUUACAUAACUUUAACAGUAAAAAGGAAAAUCAAACAAAAUAAGAGCUGAUCGCUACAAACAUCCAGUUAAACCUGCAAGGGAAUUACUUCUUUUUUUUCAUAGACCCAAUUUGUUAGAUAAUAAAUUACACAGAAACACAAUUACAAGAAGUACAAAACAUAUAUAUAUUGAUUAAACUGUUUAGAGAAAUAACUCGCCUCUUUUGCUCAAUUAUGCUUCGAGAAAUGCUGAAAUGGAGUUCGCUUUGUUUCCAGCAAAGUGGCGAUCGAGAUGAACAGUCGAAAAUCUGAGGAAUAACAAGAAGAAGAAGAAUACGGCUUUCCUUGGAGUAGAGCGAAGAAGAUCUCAAUGAGCUUUAGUUUAUUUGUUUAUAAUUUUCUCCGUUGUAGACCGAGAAGUUCAGAGUCAUGGAGUAAGGGACAACAAAGGAGAGGUUACAGGUUAGAUCCGCUCAUUUUUUAUGGGCCGGGUUGGCCUGUUUACCUGGUCUCUUCUUUUUCACCUCGGAAAGAAAUAGGCUUCUUUUGUUCAAAAAUAUAUUAUUAAUAAUAAUAUUGAAUAAUAUAAUAUAAAGCUAUAUAUAAACAAAAAAAGAUAUAAGAGAAAAUAUUUUAUUUAUUAUUUUUCUGCGUAUAUUACGGAAUGAGAAAUACCUUUUUAUACGGUAUAAAUUCACUGAAUGUUAUUUCUCCUUUAUGAGAGUGUUAAUAAGAUCUGUUAUACAAGUAUUAAUAUCAUAUAUGUAUAUCUAAAAAACAUUCAUUUCAAUUGUAUUGAAUAUAGUGAAUUCACCAACAAGGGUUGUGGUGGAGUGGUAAGUACUCCUUCAUUCUUAACUAAGACGUCUUGGGUUCGAGUCCCCUUGGGUAUCGAAUCGCCUUUGUUAGGGAGCGUUUUACCCCCAAUGUGGGACUUCUCGACGCUAAUAUGGAUUUAAUCGGGUUCCAAUGUGGGUACGAAUAUAGUGAAUUCAUAACACUAUUAUAACUUUACUAUGUUAAAUUCAAUGGAAAAAAGUAGUACAUAUAUCUUGUAAAAAACUUUGAGUGUUGCCUUAUUAAAUAUUUUAUUACAAAAAUUCAAUGGGACAAAUCCAUAAAUAAAGGAAAAAAGUAUGAUGCGUAUUUUACUUCUCCUUGAUGAAAGUUUUAAUUGAUUACUGAGAGUCGAUGCAUUUCAAUUUCAUAUUUUAAUUUCUUAAAUGUUGGUGUUGGCUAAAAAAAGGUUCAAUAUUAUUACUUGAACGGAUUUGUUGAACACCUAUCUCACCAUUUCGUUGAAGAUCAUGUAUACAAAAAAAUGGUGCAAUAUGAUUUAUUUGUUCUUCUUGAUAUUCUUUUUUUUAAUUGAGCUAUAAAGCAAUAUUUUUUUCAUACAGUCUUUUGUAAAUCUUUGUUUGCAUAGAAAGAUCACAUAAUUGCAAAAUAUGUUGAGUCAUUGAUCUAAACCAUACGCAAAAUCCGCUGACUUCAUAAAUGACUAUUAGAUUUGCAUUAUUUAAAGAAGUGACGACUAUUUAUUGUUUCAUCGAACAUCAUAACAUAAUUACACCUCCAUAUGUUAAUAGAUAACCUACUUGAGAUCUGAUUUUAUGUGGGUAGGCAAAUAUUUUGCAUGCAUAAUCGAUUAUUACACAAAAGGAAUUCCUUUCUUGUCCAAUACAAAAUUGAAUAUAAGAAAAUACUUUCCAGAAAAAACAAAAAAAACAAAAAAUUAUUUUUCUGGCUACGGAUUUAUGGAACCUGGCUUAUUUCUUACUUGGAUGCAUUAGAAUAAAAUAAUUUCAAAUUAAUUAUUGCUUGAAAAUAUCUAAAUAUGUGCUUAACACCUUUUUGGUGUGCUGCAAAAUAUAUAUCUGAUUAGAUCAUAUUAACAAAGCACAUUUGUUUCCAAUAGUACUGAUAUGUAAGAUUUUAUAACCAUUAGGUUCUUGAUCCUUUUAUUGAUAUUAAAAUAAAUUUUUAUUUUUCAAGCAAUCUCACAUUCAUUGAAAUACUUAAUAAGAUCGUUUUAAAACCUUUUAAAUUAUUCAAGGAUUUUUAUAUAAAUUUUAUUGUCUAUUUAAACUCGACAACAAUUUUAUCAUACACAUUCAAAUUUUCAUAUAUCACUAGACCAAAACAAAUCUCAUUGCAUUCACCACAUGAGAACACAUCCUUCAUAUAAUAAUGUCUGGAUUUUUAGUAAAAAAGUUUCCUAAGAUAUAAAUUGUAUUUUACAUUUUGUGAUUUUAUUUUUUUCACAAUAACCUAUUCCGACUUCAUUAGCAUCAUACCUAGUUGUUGAGACUUGAGUCCAAAAUUAUCAUUUUUUAUCAAAUGAAUAAAAUAUAUUGUCACAAUCCGACUUGUCUAUUUCAAUCAAGACAAGUCAGUCUCAACCAACGAAACGAAAAAAAAAUGUAAAAAGUAAAACAUGAAUAACGUAAAAGCGGACAACUUAUUCAUUAUAACAAUAACCCCAAAAUCUGAUUGUCACAUGUACAAACCACUAAUACAGACAAAAUUUAAAAGACAAUACAAGUCUCAAUGGCUUUGAUUCUAGAAAAGAAAAAAGCAUAAAUAAGGAACAAGAGGGCCCGCCGAAAUGACAAUCAACUACCUUUCAAAGUCCUUUGAUAGCCUCAGAAAUAGGUUAAGAAGAAGAAGAUCACACGAGUCCGGGCUCAGAACCUACACAAGUGUAGAAGCAAUGAGUGAGUAUAAAACAACACGAUACCCAGCGAGCAACCUACUAAACAAAGCAAAACUAGAUAGAAAUUGAGUAAUCCUUUCAUCCCAAUCGAAUCUCCUCAUACUACAACUUGCAUAGAAAUCAGCCCAACCUAACAGUUCUACAAUAUACAACUCACAAGGUUUAACAAUCAUAGUCCAGUAGUCACAGUUCAACAACCCACAAGUAUCAAGUAUGUCAAUCACAAGUAUUAAGUAGAUCACUCACAAGUAUCAAGUAGAUCAACCACAAGUAUCAAAUGCAUCAUUUUCCAGUAUCAAGUUCCUCAAAUCAUAGUAAUCAAAUACUUGCCGGAAUCAUUUUCCAUCAACACAAUAUCACUAGCCGAAAUCAUUUCCCAUCGAUUUUAUAUCAUAUUACUAGCUUGAACCAUUUUUCUUUUGCGUUAUAUCACAUCACUAGACGGAACCAUUUCUCUUUGGCUUUAUAUCAUAUCACUAGCCGGAACCAUUCCCCUUCGACUUUAUAUCAUAGCACUAGUUGGAACACUUUUUCUUCGGCUUUAUAUCAAAUCACUAGCCGAAACCAUUUUCUUUCGGCUUUAUACAACACAUGUCUCAUCUCAUAGCACAACAAUCAAAUGCAAAUAAGUCAUUUCUCACCAUAAGAAAUAGACAAUAAUUCAAGCAAUUCAAGGCAACAACAAUGACAUCAAGGUUUUUCAUCAAUCAACAAUUUAAGUCCACAACAAGCCAAUUCACAAAGCAUUAUGAUCAACACUGCCUUUUUCAUUAAUUUCCUCUUUUAUUCAUUAAGAUUAAUCAAGUGGAACAAAUGAAUCCACCACCUCAUUCCCAUUAUUCCCUAACACACAUAAUGAAUGGAAAAUACAUGAAUUUUACAAGUUUUAGAAAGUAUUUGCCUUAAUUCAAUCAGGGUUGUGGUGGAGUAGUAAUUACUCCUUCAUCCUUAACCAAGAGGUCUCGGGUUCGAGUCCCCUUGGGUAUGGAGUCACUUUGUUAGGGAGCGUUUUUUUACCAUGUCAGCACGAAUUCGAAUUUAGUCGAGCUCCAAUGUGGAUACCGUACACCGGGUGGGAAACCAAAAAAAAUCAAUCAAAGUCAAUUCAAGACUUGAGUCUUCCCCUUCCGAAUAAUAUCCAAAGCCUUACAAUCUAGUAACAACUUUCAAUUCAUACAUUUUGAAAAAAUUGGUCAAUCAACUCAAAAAUUCAAUUUCGAAAAGAAAGUUUGAAUCCGAAAACUUUUACUUGAAAAUAUUAUCUAAGGCAUUUGAAAUUCAUUGGUGAAAACCAUUUCGAAAAAGGAUUUAAAAUCAAUUCACAAUCACCAUUUCACUUUAGAACUCAAGUUCUUGAAAAACAUAACCAUUUGUCAAUCAAAAUCUCAAGUUUUGAUGUUAAAAUCCAUAAAUAAUUAAUGGGAAAUGAAGUUUUAGAAUUACAAAGGCUUACCCAAAUAAUUUAACGCAAGAAUACUCUUCAAAAGCGCCUCAAAGGAUUUUACUAAGCUCAAAAUGAAAAAUGAAAAAUGGGUAGAACCCCGAAAAUGGCAAGCAUAAACCCCUUUGAUGUCGCAAAAGCGAACCCCGAAUAAAAUUCGACCUUCGCAAAAGCGAACAGAUUUUCGCUAAAGCAAAGGUCGCGAUCGCAACAUACUCCAUCACGAUUGCGAAGGUCAAGGGAACUGACCUCUCGUGAACAUGAAAAAUGCUUCGCUGAAGCGAUGCUCGGUAAAGCAAGCCAUCCAUCGCUAAAGCGAAGCACAUAGACAUCAGAAAAUAUCAACCAAGUCUCAAAACAUCAAAUGGAUCCUCGGGAUUCGUUUGAAACACCAUACAUAUAAAUCAUAUAUGUGACUAUACUUGACGUUUCAAACUCAAUGAAAUCGGUAAAACACGAAUCUAAGAUCUCUUUGACCCGAAACUCGUGAAAGUCACAUGAAACAAACAUAACGCCUAAAAAAGCCAAAUCAAGCUCGGAACUUCUAAAUAUUCAAUCAAAACAUCAUCAAGGUCUAAAAUCAUCCCACGAAUCUAAUGGAACUCUUGAAAUUCUGAUUCGAGCAUCUGAACCUCAAAAGGACUCAGAAUCAGAAAUUGACAACACUCUUAGAUCUAAUUUUAUAUUUUUGGACGAAUAGAAUCAAUAGAAUCUCAUUCCGACACUCGAAACUCCAAAAGACUCCGAAAAUCACUUUUUAAUAACUUCAGCCUUUUGAAAUAAAAAACUUUCAAAAUUCACAACUUCCACUCAAAGUUCGAAAUCAACUUUCAAAACUCAAUCAGAAAUGACUAGGGAUCGAUAACGAGGAUUGGGGGGGGGGGUAAAAUGAUAAAUUUAUGAAAAUUUCCAAAAAUGACCUUCCGGGUCAUUACAUAUACGUAAAUCAUCUAUUUUAUCUGAUCAAUCAUUUAUCUGGCCGCAUUUAUCUUUGUUAUCAUUUAUAAUAUUGAGGGUUACAUUAUAUCAAAGAUGUCAUCGACGGUCAUUUGAUAUCGAUUUUAAUACAACAUAACUUAUUGAGAUUUCUUCAUUUUUCAUCAUUUUUAGGUACUUGAAUUAUGUGUAAUGUCGUGGUUCUCUUUUAAAGGACCUAUUUGCCCCUAAGAAUACUUGGGAAAAACUUGGGGAAAACUUGGGAAGUGGUGUUUGGUCAUAUAACUUGGCAAAUAUAUUUGCCAAGUUCCCAAUUACUAGAAAAAAACUGGUAUUUGGGCCAAGUUAUAAUAUUUGGGAAUUUUAAAAAAUUCAAAAGUUACCCCAAGCUUUAUAUUUUAUAUAAAAAAAAAUACUCAUUAUUUAUUAAUUCCAACUAAUAUUUGCUACUACCUACUCUGAAAAAGUUUGAGUUCUAAUUUGAGUGACAAAAUUGAGACAAAAGGAACAAUUUGUGUUUAAUGAAUUAUAAUUAUAACAGAAUCAGUGACAAGUUUGAGUAUGCGAUUAAUGUAUUGUCUUGUCAAUGUUGUUAUUGUUAAUUGUUAUCAAUUAUAUUAUAAGGUUAUUUUUUAAUAGAACAUAUUCAUUAUAAAAUGAUAAUACAAAUUUAUGGGUAUUUUAAUAGUUUUAAGAACUUAUAGAUAUAAAUCAUAUUUUUUAAAGUCAAAUAUUCUUAGAAAAACUUGGAGCCAAACACAUUGUGUAAUUUCAGCAAAAACUUGGCCCAAAUAUUAUUUGCCAAAAAUAUUUGAAAACUUAGGACCAAACACUAACAAAGUAUUUGCCUUAUUACCGAUGUCCCGAUCAUUUGCUCCUUUUCUUCUUCAAGUUAUUUUACUUUAUAACUGAUUCGUCUAUCACGUUUUGUCAUUCAAAGACUUUCACUGGAAUAUUUGUAGCAUAUAUAAUUUUCUCAUUAAUGCUCUGAAGAUGUAUUGUUUCUAUUAACACGUUUUUCAUUGAGCAUAUGUGUCUUUUCAUAAUAUCCAUUUUCAAUAAUGCUUGAAUAAUUAUCACUCAAUCAUGUAUCACCUCAAUUAUAUAAAAUUAUCAAUUCAACGAUAAACUUUGUAACAAGCUUUGCAGUAUCCUCUUCAUAAUAUGAAUAAUUUUUAUCUUAUAAACAAUUUUUGACUUUACUUUCAGAUACUCGAGAAGAUUAUUUAACUUAAAGUUUAUCUAUUAUUAAAGUAAUGAAGGUAAGUCUUACACCGUAUUUUGAUUGGCACAUCAAGAUUAUUUGAACUAAUUCACAAUUUAUUUAUUAUGUGACAGUCUUUCAAAAUGAAACACACACAUCGUCAAACACUUUAAAGGUAAUAAAACACACAAAAUAACAUAAAACAAUGAACGAGUUCCAUAUUGGUAUUCAACUUCACAUUUUCAAUUAUUUAUUCUCAAUUUGAAUAUUGGAUACUAAAAAUAUUAUAACUAUUUUCCAUACCAUCUAUUUUAAAAUACUCAAUUCAGAGCAGAUUAAACACUUGAUGAAAAUAACAAAAAGAUUCAUCUCAAGUAUAUAUACAUGAAAUUAACUACAAAAACAAUUCAUAGUCAUGUGUAAAACAUUUAAAAAUUCAAUAGUUUUUAAAAAAUUCAAAAAAUACAAAUAAGUUGAAUGCAAUUUAUAUACGCAUGAGAUUUCAUUGGGAAAAAGAAAUCUACUUCAAACAUUAUUUAAACAAGCACAAAAAAUAAGAAAAAAUAUCCUAAUUAGCAGUUCAAAAUUUAAUUAUAGGUCAAAAGAACAAUUUCAAACAAAAAUUUGUACAAAUAAUUCACUUCACAAACAUAUGUUACUCAUAUUGCCCAAUAUCAUUUUCAUUUGAAACAAACUCAACAUGAGAAAAAUGCAAAAAAUUAAUUGCGAUGUAAAAAUAUAUAUUAGAAGCUUAUAAAUUUAAUGCUAUUGAUCUUCAAAAUUGCUAAAAACAAACAUAUUUUGGCAAUGAACAAGCUAUCAUAUACAAAAAUUAGAAAGAGAAUAUAGAUUAUACAAAAGCUCAUUUUACUUGCAUUAACUUAGCACAAUAUAGUUGUAAGACGAUCAAAAAUGACAUAAAUAUCUUCUUAAAACCCGUUUAAAGUGAAAGCAAAUAAACAUGAAAAAGAAUUUUUGAAUAUUACUUAAAUAUCAUGUAUUUCUCUUUUUUCUUAUAUUUUUUUACUUAAAUAUCAUGUAUUCUCAAUUAUCUUUUACCUCUUUUAUGGAUUAAAUCUAUAAAUAACAAUCAUCUAUGAAAUUAUCAGAUGCUCAUUUUUAUUUUCUCCUUUUUUUUUAUUAGUCCAUAUCUUUUCCUUCUUUUUUUAAACUCUUUUCUUUCAUGUUUUUGUGGAUCAUAGAGAAAACAUAUAUAGAAAAGAUGAUGUGAUAAUAUGGUCAUAGAUUAAAAUCAAACAUAUGUUUUUCAGAAUUUAGUAUCAUAAUAGCCAAACAUAUAUCAAGACAAAGAAGGAAGUUCAAUAAUGUUGUAAAAGAUUUGUUAAAGAAAAAUGGUAAAAUUAAUUUGGUGCAAGUUAAUCAAAAUGAAGAAAAAAAAAAUUAAUAGCAGUAGAAGAUUCAUCUCGAUGGUCAAAUUAAUUUUAUAAAGAAUUUUUGAAAGAUUUACUUAUCUGUGUGUAUAGAUACACUUUUUGUUGCUUAUUUUAGUAUUUUCAGUUGGUUGUUUUUUCAAAUAUAAGACUAGGGGUGUACAAAAUCGAAUCGAAAAUCGAAUCAAAUCGCAAACUGAGUCAAACCGGAAAAAAACCCGACUAGUGGUUUGGUUUGACUUGGUUUGGUAUUGGAAAAAAAAACCCGACUAUAUUUGGAUUGGUUUGGUUUCAACUAAAAUAAACCAAACCAACCCGACAUUAUAUAUAUAAUUUNNNNNNNNNNNNNNNNNNNNNNNNNNNNNNNNNNNNNNNNNNNNNNNNNNNNNNNNNNNNNNNNNNNNNNNNNNNNNNNNNNNNNNNNNNNNNNNNNNNNNNNNNNNNNNNNNNNNNNNNNNNNNNNNNNNNNNNNNNNNNNNNNNNNNNNNNNNNNNNNNNNNNNNNNNNNNNNNNNNNNNNNNNNNNNNNNNNNNNNNNNNNNNNNNNNNNNNNNNNNNNNNNNNNNNNNNNNNNNNNNNNNNNNNNNNNNNNNNNNNNNNNNNNNNNNNNNNNNNNNNNNNNNNNNNNNNNNNNNNNNNNNNNNNNNNNNNNNNNNNNNNNNNNNNNNNNNNNNNNNNNNNNNNNNNNNNNNNNNNNNNNNNNNNNNNNNNNNNNNNNNNNNNUUAAACUUAAUUUUAGCAUGAUUUAGUACUUUUAAAUUAUGAUCUUUUUCAUUAUGACUUAUUAAUUUGCAAUAUUUGUUUUACGCGAUUUCAUUAUUAUUAUUUUUGUUGGAUAUUUUAGUGUCAUUAAUCAUAUCAUAUUUUGUGUUUUUUUCUUAAGAAACACUUAGAUAGUUGUAUUUUGGUAGGACUAAAGAAAUAUUUGAAGUACAAGUAAAUUAUAUGUUUGUACGAAUACUUUACCGGAAAAACUCGAAAAAACCCGAAAAUCCAAAAAAACCCAAGGUUGAAAAACCCGAGUUUUAUUGGUUUGAUUUGGUUUAUAAAUUCAAAAAUCCGACGCAAAUAGUUUGGUUUGAUAUUUGAAAAACUCGAACCAACCCGACCAUGUACACCCCUAUAAGACAUGCACCUCGUAAGAACAAGGCUUUAUUAUAAAAUUUUAACUUAAUAUUUUAUGCAUUUAUUGUUUGUAAAUAAAUUACCAUAAAUUUAUAAGGACUUGAAUGAAAGUUGGAUUACCAAUCCUGAAUGCCUCACAAAAUUGAGUUUCAAGUUUUUAUGUUUUUUAGGGGCUAAGAUGGUCAUUUAACUUUGAAUAGUUUACUUAGAAAGUCACUUAGCUUAAAGUAGUUCACUUAAAAAGUCAUUUAACUUUGUUUUAAACUCAAAAAUUACUUAACUAUUGCUAUUUCACUUAGAAAGUCACUCAAUUAUUGAUAUUUUACGUAGAAAGUCACCCAACUAAUUUAAAUAAUUUUUUAAUUAAUUUUUUUAUUGAAAUACAAUUUUUGUUUUAAACUUAUUUCUAAAAAAAAUAAAAUAAGUUGCUCAUUUUAAUUAUUUUAUUAAAUUUUGUUGAAAUGCAUUUUUUGUUAUGAACUGUUUUUAAAAAACAGUUACGAUUGCUACUGCGCGAUGGAUUACUUCUCGAUUCCAACUUUUUUUAAAAAAUAAUAAUCAUAUUUCAGCAUAUUUAGUUUCAGUUAGACAAUUGCUAAAACGGAAAAGGGAAUUCUUUUUGACAUUUGCUACUGUACAUUUUUUCAAAAAAAAUAUAAUUAAAUAAUUGGAGGGAUCGAUAAAAUAAUUAAAAUAUAUUAUUUUUUUUGAAACAUAGUUUAAAUAAAAAUUAGAUUUCAACAAAAUUUAAUUAAAAAAAAUAUUCAAAUUGAUUGGGUGACUUUCUAAGUGAAAUAUUAAUAGUUGAGUGACUUUUUAAGUGAACUAUUCAAAGUUGAGUGACCAUUUGAGAUAUUAUCUCCCUGAUAAUUGGAAUUGGUGUAAUUACUAGGGUAGUAAUUACACAUCUUAGUAAUUACACUGGCAUGUUUGUUUGACACAAUGUAAUUAUACAUGUGCUAUUUGGAUGCACAAUUGUCAUCACAAGAUUAUAUUAAAUUUUAAAAAUAAAAGUUAAUUAUUUAAAAUUUAUAUUAGACAAAUAAACAACUUUAUAAAUGAUAUUAACUGAAAUAUUUAAGAUAUAUAUUGUCUUUUUAAAAUAUAUUACUAAUAAACAUAUGUUCUUAACUAAUAUUAUGAAGAAAAAAAAUUGAUUUGUAUUUUUCAAAUUAGUAUAUUUCAAUUGAACUAAUCAUAAAAACUAAAAGUACAAGAUUUCUAUGAACAUCAUGAAAUGCAUGUUUGACAAAAAGAUUAAUAUUAUAAAUAAAAUGUCAUAAACUAUUAAAAACAUUUGUCAAAAAGAUAAUCUAUAAAGUCUGACUAAAAAAUUAAUGACUUGCAAUGUGAAGUCUCAAGUCAAUACUACUAUACUAAAAUAAGUGAAACUGAAAAUAUAACAUUAGUUCUAAAUUCCAAACAAAAUAGUCUUAUGUCAAAUUUCAACAUAACAUACAUAAAUAUGAUUUAAAAGAAAAGGAAAACCUAAGUCUACAACCUUACUCAACAAUGAAUUAUAUUUUAAUUGAAAAAUUAGAAUACUAUCAAAAUUAUGCCCAUAAAAAAUAAGUAUGACAUAAAAAAUAGAUAAUACGAAAAAUUGCAUGGAAUCACAUGAAGUAAAGGUUGAGAAUGAGAAGUAAAUGAAAUAUAAAAAAAGAAAAAAGAAACUUUUAGAAUUUUUUAGAAUAAUAAAAAUAAAAAAAGAAUUUAAAAUAAUAGAAAUAAAAAAUAAAUAAAAAACAAACAAGUAAAAAUAGAAAUAAAAAGAAGAAAUUGAAAAAUUAUGAACUUGUAAUUACAUCAUGUAAUUACCAGCAAUUCACAGCCCCUCCCUGGAAAUUGGAGAGUGCAAUUACACCCAAUCACCUGUUAACCAAGUAAUUACAUGUCCAACCAAUCAAGCUAGACAAUGUAAUUACACUAAAUCCAAUAACCAAGGUGGCUUUCCAAACAGACCCGUAGCGUUUUCUUGAAAUCUAUGUAAUAUAAGCAUAAAUAAAGUGAUACAACACCUUACUAUGGAUUCUAUUUAUCUUUUUUCUAUUAAUUUUUUUUAUCUCCAUUUUUUUUCAAUUAUUUUAUAACUCACAACUUUUCAACUUCAUAUAUAUAAAUUCUACUUUAAUUAGUAUUAAUAUGCUAUUCUUUUAAUUACUACUAUCUUUCAAGCCUUUUAUGUUCAUAACCCAAAUGAUUUUUUUCAAUCUUUUCUAGCAUUUCAUUCACUGUGUUUAGUAAUGUAAAUUAAAAGGACAACUUAUUCAAUUUGUGGAGACCAAUUAUAUUCGAAGCAGUAUUCUAAUAUGCAUAAGUUGGUGAAUAUGAAGAAAGAAAGGACGAUUAUUCAAAAUUUUAAAGUACAAAGUCUUUAAUUAUAAUAAAUUUCAUUAAAUAUUUGAUUUGUAUGUUAUAAAAAUGAAAAGCUGCAAUUUAUAAAGGUUAAAUAUCUCUCUCUCUAUAUAUUCUCUUAUUAUAUAAGUGGGAGUUGAAGCUACCCAUUAACUUGACAUAUGGAAUUACUAGAUCCCACACACACACACAUAUAUAUAUAUAUAUUUAUUUUUUAUUUUUUUAUUUUUUGUUCUACUAUAUAAUAAAAGGAAGUUUAGGCCCAAGUAUAAUAUAUAAUAUUUAAGAUUGGACUUUUCCAUUUGUGACAUAUAUAUAUAUAUAUAUAUAUUAUAAAUCACAAUAAUUAAUAACUUAAAACAUUUUAUUUUUUAAAAUGAAAAUUUGGAUUACUCUCCAAAUUUUAUUUGUGUCACAUAAAUUGACACAACAAAAAUAGCAUAUAUUGGGUCCAUUUUAAUUUAUUUGUCUUUUUUUUUACUGUUUUUUAUAUUUAAAAAUUGCGUAAAAAUACUAUAAAUCAUGAUAAUUGACAACAUAAAAUAUGUUUUCAAAAAAAUACAAAAAANNNNNNNNNNNNNNNNNNNNNNNNNNNNNNNNNNNNNNNNNNNNNNNNNNNNNNNNNNNNNNNNNNNNNNNNNNNNNNNNNNNNNNNNNNNNNNNNNNNNNNNNNNNNNNNNNNNNNNNNNNNNNNNNNNNNNNNNNNNNNNNNNNNNNNNNNNNNNNNNNNNNNNNNNNNNNNNNNNNNNNNNNNNNNNNNNNNNNNNNNNNNNNNNNNNNNNNNNNNNNNNNNNNNNNNNNNNNNNNNNNNNNNNNNNNNNNNNNNNNNNNNNNNNNNNNNNNNNNNNNNNNNNNNNNNNNNNNNNNNNNNNNNNNNNNNNNNNNNNNNNNNNNNNNNNNNNNNNNNNNNNNNNNNNNNNNNNNNNNNNNNNNNNNNNNNNNNNNNNNNNNNNNNNNNNNNNNNNNNNNNNNNNNNNNNNNNNNNNNNNNNNNNNNNNNNNNNNAUAUUAAGUAUUUAAAAAUUACGUACAACCAUAUUGCUUUCUGUAGGCUUCAAAUUAUCGUGGUCAUUUUUUAGGCUGAUACAAGUUUUGUACAUUUUCUAUUUAAUUUUUAAAAUUUUUUAUAAAUCACAAUAAUUAAUAAUUUAAAAUAUUUAAAAUUAUAUAUUAAAAAUUGAGUUGGUUUCGAGAAUUUUAUUUAUAUUAUAUAAAAUGGGACAAAGGAAGCAACAUAUAUCAUUUACAAAUGACUUAAAAAACAUUAAAAAUUACAAUAAUUACCAAUUUAAAAUAUUUAAAAGCUAUAUAAUAAAAUAGGUUNNNNNNNNNNNNNNNNNNNNNNNNNNNNNNNNNNNNNNNNNNNNNNNNNNNNNNNNNNNNNNNNNNNNNNNNNNNNNNNNNNNNNNNNNNNNNNNNNNNNNNNNNNNNNNNNNNNNNNNNNNNNNNNNNNNNNNNNNNNNNNNNNNNNNNNNNNNNNNNNNNNNNNNNNNNNNNNNNNNNNNNNNNNNNNNNNNNNNNNNNNNNNNNNNNNNNNNNNNNNNNNNNNNNNNNNNNNNNNNNNNNNNNNNNNNNNNNNNNNNNNNNNNNNNNNNNNNNNNNNNNNNNNNNNNNNNNNNNNNNNNNNNNNNNNNNNNNNNNNNNNNNNNNNNNNNNNNNNNNNNNNNNNNNNNNNNNNNNNNNNNNAUGACUCUCCAAAUUUUAUUUGUGUCACAUAAAUUGAGACAACAAAAAUAACAUAUAUUGGGUCCAUUUUUCUUAUUUUUUUUAGUGUUUUUUAUAUUUAAAAAUUGUGUAAAAAUCCUAUAAAUCAUUGAUAAUUGACAACAUAAAAUAUGUUUUCAAAAAAAUACAAAAAAAUCCACUGAUCCUUGCAGUGAAUCUAUCGUAAAAAUACUAUAAAUCAUGAUAAUUGACAACAUAAAAUAUUUCAAAAAUGUUAUAUGUGGGUAAUCUUAUUAUGCCUUAAAUAGCGUCAAAGAAAGUACAGGUUUGUGAUAAAAAAAACUUAUUUUUUUAUCCACGCAAACAAUCACUUUAAAAAUUUCGUUAUUAACCCCAAAACAUACCAUUUAUAUUAUUGGGCCCGUGCAUAGUACGGGCAACAUUAUCUAGUAUAUAUAUAAAGGAGGAACAUAGAUAAGGUGAUGUGGCACCUUUCUAUGGCCUCUAUUCAUAUAUAUCUUUUUUUCUCUUUUUGGGAAUUUUUAAUGUCUAAAUAUUUUAAUUAAUGUUUUAUUCUUUAUGUAUAAUCACUUGUAAUUAAUUUAUUGGUAAAAACAAUCAACCCUCCCUCUCCCCCCACGUCUAAGAUCAUGAUCAAUUCUUCAACUUUUCAUCUUCUCUUUUAAUUAUUAUUUAUACUCUUUUAUGACAUUAAAUGAUUUUUUUUUCUCAAAAGCAAUUGUGGAGAUGAAAUCAUUAUCUCCUUUCAUAGUUACUAUAAAUCUCUAACUAUUUAUGUCAUGGAGAAAUAUUUUUUGUUCACCAAUUGCUUCCCUUAUGAUGGGACUGCUUAGGCAGUUUUCAGGUACCAUUUUAUUUUAUUUAUUUUUGUUUACAAAUAUUAAUAUUAUGUAAGAUUUUAAUAAUGAUAUUUUGUAUCAUACUUUCAUCAUUAUUAUUUUAGAUGACUAUUUUUUGUAUCACAAUUUCAUCAUUAUCAUUUAGAUGACUUAUUUUUCAAUUGGUUUGCUAUUUUAUAGAUUCUUGAAUUUAUUUGGAAUAAAAUAUUAUAUUUGUAUAAUUGUGUUUUGUCAUUUUAUCAUGUUUUCUUAUUGUAUUGCUUCAUUCUUGUGUUUAUUUUUAUCCUAAUAUUGUUGUUUUAUUUAAAUUUUGAUUUCUCAAUUGAUGAAUUAAAUUUCAAUCAUCUCAGGCUAUUUUCACAUUAAUGUAUAGAAUAUCAUAUUUUCUAAUUUAUAUUAUAUUAUGUGGUGGAUUAUCACAAUACGCAUUAUUCUACUUCUUAUAUUAAUGUGGAUUUAUGGGUGAGUACAAAAAAUUGAUGAUUAUUUAUAGAGUAAUAACCCAUUUUUCCUAUUGACAUUUUAGUAGCUUUAGAUAAUUAUAAAGGUCAUGCACAAUUUUUCUUGAUAUUUUGUUUGUUUACAACUUAUUCUUACUUCUCUUUUAAUAUCAUUCUUUAUUUAGAUUUCAAUUUCUCAAUUCAUAAGCUAAUUGAAAUUCUUCUUGAUUUUUUUUUUAAAUUAACCUACAUUCAAACAUUUUACCUUAUCUAAUUUUAGAUCAUUUUGUGGGAUUUGUCAAAAUAUGUGCUAUUGAACUUUCCUAUUAAUGUGAAAUGAUAAGACAUAAGUUAAAAAAAAUCAUCCUCUAAUAACUCAUUUUUAUUAUUGAUAAUUUAUAUAUAUGGUAAAGUUAGAUAUAGAAUAGGUAAGGUGAGACAUCACUUGGGUCAUGAUUCAUAAUUUGAGUUUGGAGCCAAAAGGGAAAAAAAAAUUGCCAAAAAUUUCAAAAGGGUACAUCAAUUAUUUUUUAACCAAAAGGGCAAAAUCUCUCUUGACGGAGCGAUUUCCUUCUGACAAAAUUGACGCCGUUACUUCGUUAAAAAACAUAAAAAUCGCUGUUCCAGCAGCGAUUUUGUCAAAUUUUUUAUUUUUUAACAUUCCUGCCCCUGUAACGUUUUUCUAAAAAAACUUUUUAAAAUUGAAAUCGCUGCUAUAGUAGCAAUUUUCUUUAAAAAAUUAUUUUUUUAAAAUCGCUUGCAAGGCAGCGAUUUCAUUCAAUUUUUGCAUUUUAAAUAUAUUGCUGCCUUGAAAUGUUUUGUACUGCCAUUUGCUUAAAUGAUUAAUAGUGAUUGUACAUGCUUGGUUUUAGCUUAAUUUUUUAAAUAUUUUUCUAUUGAUUUUGAAAUUUAAUGAAAUCGCUGCCCGGCAAGUGAUUUUUUAAUAUAAAAAAAAUCAACUUUUUAAAGAAAAUCGCUACUAUAGCAGCUAUUUCAAUUACAUUUUUUUUUGACAAAAUCGCUGCCACAGCAGCGAUUUUAAAGAAUUAAGAUUUUUUUUUGGACGAAAUCGUUGUUGGGGCAGCGAUUUUAUGUGGAGUAACGAAGUCAAUUUUGUUAGAAGGAAAUCGCUCCGUCAGGAGCGAUUUUGCCCUUUUGGUUAAACAAAUAAUUGAUGUGCCCUUUUGAAAUUUUUGACAAUUUUUUUGCCCUUUUGGCUCCGGACUCUUCAUAAUUUCAUAUUCAUCUAUUUUUUCAAUUCUUUUCCUUUUCUUAUUUAAAUCUCUAGAAUUUUUUUAAUCUUUAACAUAGUUUUUAAAAAAAAAAUUAUGUUACAAAUUAUUCCUUACAAGUUUUAAAUAACACUAAAGUUUAUAUCCAUAAUGACUUGAGCUUUUUUCGGUUUAGUUUUUUUAUUUCUCUUUUAUCUUAUUUAUUUAUUUUAUCCUUUUUAGGUGCUUAUACGACCUUACAAAUUAACCAUAUAACAAGAAAAACUAGGUUUAUUUUAAAAAAGAUGGAAGAAGUCUUAACAGUUUCUUCUACAACUAGCUGUUAUUAAAUUGAAAUUUAUCCUUUCUUAAUUCUGAAUUAAUAUUAUGUCCUAAUGAUUCUUGAAUAUGCUUUAUUUUUAGAGCAACUUUCACAUAUAGCAAACAUAAAAAUCAUAUUUGUAUGCUAUAGCUAUAGUUUGCAUAAUUGCACUCCAUAGCAAACUUUAUGUUUGCUAUGACUAUUAAUAUGUAUAUUUCGCUAUACAUAUACAAAAGAAAGCAAUUGUAUAAUCUGUUUCGGUAUACAUAUACAAAAGAAUCAAUUGUAUAAUCUGUUUCGGUAUACAUAUACAAAAGAAUCAAUUGUAUAAUCUGUUUCGGUAUACAUAUACAAAAGAAUCAAUUGUAUAAUAAGAAAGCAGUUGUAUAAUCUGUUUCGGUAUACAUAUACAAAAGAAUCAAUUGAAUAAUAUGUAUUUGUAUAAAGCGAGAAAGAGAGAAAGACAAAACAAAACUGGGCAGGAGAAAAUCGUAUUUGUAUAAUCAUAAGUGUAUAGGACGAAAAUAUAUGCAUUUGUAUUUGUAUAUACAAUUUUCUCUCGCUUUAUACAAGCACAAACACAAUGUAUACAUUUGUGUUUGUAUAAAGUGAGAGAGGCGAGUGAGAGUGGCGAGCGAGAUUUGGGAGAGGGGAACGAAAAUAUAUGUAUAUAUACAAUUUUCUCUCGCUUUAUACAAAUAGAAACACAUUUUAUACAUUUGUGUUUGUAUAAAAACGAGAGAGGCAAGGGAGACUGCCCAACGAGAAUGAGAGUGGCGAGAGAGAUUCACCAGGGAGAGAGGCAAAAUAGCAACAGUUUGCUAUGGGGUACAAUUAAAUCAAACUAUGGUUAUAACAUUUAAUUUGAAUUAAUAGUUUGCUAUUAUAUACAAUUUUUCCUUAUUUUUACUACUUUCAUUCUUUAACAGAAAUAUUUAUAUAUUAUAAUGAUUCAUGAUAUUAUAAAUUAGGCAUGCAAAAGUAACUAAAUUAAUUAAUCAAAUAUUGUCAUAUGGUUUACAAAUUGGGAAGAGUAGUUCACACUACUAAUCAUUUAUAUAUAUUAUUCUUCAUAUUAUUGUUUUUCUUUUGUUCAAUGGUGUGGUUUCUAAAAAUGUGUCAAUAUGAUAAUAAAACUUAAAAUCAUUUGAAUAUAAUGCUCCAGAGAGUCAUUUAGAAGAAAUUUGGAAAGAGGAGAAUGACUAUAUAGUUUUUUCACAUUUAUAAUGGUUUGUCACUAAUAUUGACUUUGUUUUCUAUACACAUGCUUAUGUUGUUGAUUAAUUGUAGUUUGAUGACUUUUCUUCAUAAUAUAUGAUAGAAAAACAUUGUAAAAAAAUAUCUUAUAUAUAGGAUCUUAAUAUUUUUCUUUUAUUUAAGACAAUUUUCCAAAGGCAGAGGUUCCGAGGCUAUUAAUCGUGUAUUUUUUAAUUUAAAUUUUAGUAUUUUUCUUCAACAAGAUCAUUAACAAUUGCAUUUGCAUCAGAAAAUGACAUAUUAUAAGCACUUAUUUUAUUUAUCACUUAAAAGUGUAUAUUUUAAUUAAAUUCUUACCUGAUAACUAAGUGAUUUUUAUACUUAUUACUAUAUCAUAACUCUAGGAAAGAACACAACUAAAUGGAUAAAAUCAUAUUAUCGUUCAAUUAUUACUACUUAAAUAUAAAAGAAUAGGAAUGGUGUAUUUAAAUUGUGCUAAUCUAAGGAAUUGUUUCCUUUUUCGAUGAAGCUAAUAUCUCACGAAGAAAUUUAAAAUAUAGUUAAAGUGAGUUAUAAUUUAAUAUUUAAUUUAUUUGAAUGUGAAUAUAGAAAUUAAAAAACUAUUAAAAAAAUCAUGAAUCUAAUAUUAUGUCGCACCGCACGAAGCGCGGCCAUAUUUACUAGUAUGUUAUAACUUGUGAUUGUUUGAUUGUCACGCGUUGUAUCCAUGUGAAUCCUCACAACUCAAAUGAUAAAAAUUUCAUUAGAGAAGGAAAGAAGAUAGUCAUUGCAACAGAUUCUCAAAUAUGUUGCUUUAUGAUAAUUAAUUUAAAGAUGAUCAUAUAUCAUAGAGAAAAUACAUUAAAAAAAUCCCUAAACUUGACACGAUAACUUAUACUUUAGUACUUAAAUUAUCCGGGCGUAUAAAUAUCCCCUUAACAUCUUUGAAGUGAAUUUAAUCCCACCCUAACAGUACAAUACCAGUCUCACACUGGGAAGUGCCCUACACACACGCCUCAUCAGGGCCACAUCAACGCCACAUCAGAUCCACAUAAGAAAUAAUAUUUAAAAUAUAAAAAAAAGGAAAAUCAAAUUUAAUUUGGAAUUAUACUAAAUAUAAUUUUUUCUUGUUUUUUUCCUUUUUAAUUAUUCUUAGUUUUUUUUUAUUAAUUAUAGUUUCAUAAAUUAAUCUCUAAUUAAUUAUUAAAAUCCCCUAAAUAACUGAAUUUUCCCCAUUGUUGUCCUCAAGUUCACCACCUUCUCAUUUUCAAAGAGAAAUCCGAACAACCUUUGCAACUCUAAGCUAUAACAAUAAAAAAAAUUCAACUUUUCUUAUUACAUGAACUAACAACAAAGUCUAUAAAAAAAAUUCUUCAAUUCCAAUAUCAGCUACUCCUCAACCCCCUCUUUUGAAGAUCGAAUAUUAGUUUUUUUGUAAGUUGGGUGAAGAUUUUAUGAUCUAUUUUUUGUUGACUUCUUUAACGGAUGAUUUGACACUUUCUUGAUGUCGAAAAUAAGUUGCCGAAAAUCGUGUCGAAGAACUGAACAUCAAGUUUCUUGUCAAAGAAGAACACAAAAACAAAGAAAAGAUUAAAAAAGAGAAAUGAAAAGAAAAAUAUUGACAUUUGGAAAAAAUCCUCUGUUGUAACUUGGUGUGAUGGACUGAAAAAGAAGAAAGAAAGAGGAAGGUAGAAAAAAGUAGGAAAAAAAUAGGAUAAAAGAAAGAGAAAUUUUGAAUUAAAAAGAAAAUAUUUUUUAGAAAUAGUAAAAUAUGGAGUAAUUAAUUAAUUUUGUCAUCAUAUGAGAAGAUGACACGUGCAUAGUUUGAAACAACUUUUUGUUUUUUUUCCAUCUUCACACGCCUAUAGAAAAUUGAUGAUACAAAUCUUGCCACAUCAUAUUUUAGGGGGUAAUUUAAUUCAACUGGAACUACAUUAGGGGGUAAAAAAACGUCCGUAAAGUUGCAUUGCUAAACUAAGUUAUGCAGACAAGUUUGGGGGGAAUUUUAUGUACUUUCCCUAUAUCAUAUAAUUAACAACUUUAAAAUUGAAAAUGAAAAAUACUUACCAUCCAAGUAACUCUCUCUCGUCACUCUGUUACAUUUUAGAGUGACAUUUUAGUUAUAGAGUGCUUUUCCAAAAGUAUCCUAAUCCAACUUGGCCAUAGUGUCUGCAAAGGGCAUUCUUCUUUUUCAAGUACAGCACAAAUGAGCUUAAGCCUAAUUUUAUCCUUUUUGUACCUAACAACACAAGAAUAAGAAAAUUAAUGUAGCAAGAAUUAGAAAUUUAAUUCUCACCACCUUCCUAAUUGGCUAGCUAUUAACAUUUUCUCAAAUCUUCUUUCAAAAGGGACUUCAUACUUUCUUAGCACUCGUUCUUUUUUCCUUAUAUUUAUGUUAAUAAUUACGUUGUACCUCAAUAAAUUCGCUCAACACCUACUACCUCACACUAAAAUAAAUAUGGGUCAUAUAAAAAAAAAUAUCACCUAACAAUAAUCUUUAUUUCUACGGACAUUUGAACCAUUUUUUCACUUCAUUGACCAUUAAGCACACAAUUGGGUGCAAGACAUUCUUCAUUAUCUUGCAUUGAUAGUCUUUUCUUUGAAAAAAUAAUAUCCUCUUGGAGCCUAUGUCAAAGUUUCACAUAGUUUCGAACUCUCUUUUUAUGACUAACUAUUAACAAAUCGUAGCAGUAAGGGCCUCCUAACAUGUGAUGGAGUGUUACGUAUUCUUUCAUCCUUCAUCUUCAACCAAAAAUCUCAAAUUCGAGUCUCCCUUGUUACCCGACAGCAGGUGGAAAACAAAAAAAGGAAUAACGAAAAAUAACAGGUCAAAUAUCACUCAAUUAAAAUCAAUCCAUUUCAACAGUUCAGCUUCAGCAAGUCUGUCCAGUCGUUAACUUGUAUUAACAUGUGACAACCAAAAAUAUAUAUAAAAAUUUAUCAGUACUCACACCAAACUAGCUAAUAUGUAACAUGUUAUUUUCAUAGAAUCCUUCAUCAGUAACCAUGACCUAUUGACGAAUUCAUCAAAACAUGCAGUAACUUUGAAAAAUAUGACAAGCACCAUUAAUAUUUUUUUAAGAGUCCAAGCAACAUAGACGGUCGAAUAAUGGGAAGGAAGACCCCAACCAAAGCACAGAUGAUGGCCGACAGUUUCAUGCAGAUGUUGAAGUAGAAUAUAAGCUCUCCACAAGACAACACUAUUAUAUUGUAUAGAAAAAUGAUUUUUUCAUUUUGCAUUGAAGUUAGUGCAGUGUGAGGGCAUGAGGGUUGGAGUAGAGUUGGAGAAGGGGACCACUCAACCUUUUACUUGAACCUUCACCUUCACCUUCACCAAUCAAAUGAAGCACAAACCCAAUGGAAUACUAUUCUCAACAUUAGCCACAAAAUUCUUCUGGGCAACCUGUUAUCUUAUUAUUUUUUUUAAAAAUAUCUGUUACAAAUGAGAAAUGCCAUUAUUAAACAGGACAUAAGAAAUCAAAUGAAUACCACCACUAACUGCAGCUUUUUACUCCUCCCAGAGCCUGAAUAUUUGCUCCCGGGCCCUAGUGACUCAAACUCACAACUGGUUAGAGGUGGUAGGUCAAAGGUGGAGAGUGCCCUCACAUUUCUUCCUCAAAAGGCAAUAUGACAGGGCAAUGAAUCAUUCAUAAGCAAAUAGGUUCAAAACUCAGCAGAGAAAAAAAAACACUAGAUGAUUCUUCCCAUUACCUGAUACCUGUUGUUGAUAGGACAUGGUAGGUAUUACGUGGACUUAAUUGAGGUGCACGAAAGCUAGCCUGAACACCACGGUCAUAAAAAUAAAUUAAUUAAAAGAACACCAACUAGGCUUGGCUUCUUGUGGGAAGAGGAGGGAUCAAUAAUGCAUCAUCAUAUUAUAAUAGAGAGAUGCAAAUGAAUAAAAAAAAUGAAGGCAUGAAGAUUGCAUGUAAAAAGGGGCAGGGGACCACCCUACAGACAGAAUCUAUUGGUACUUCCUAGACAAAUAAUGCCAGACACAACCUUAUAAUACACUAUAUAUAAAAAUUAUAAUGAUGGAAAAUUAUCUCAAAACUAAAGCUAAUUUCCUAAAUCAGGAUUUAAACCACGAGGUCCCCCCCUCCAUAAUUGGCAAAAUCAAUUGGUACCAGUCAUAUUGUAUAUAGCAUGACCUAGCCAUUUACAAAUAAAUUAAUAUAGUACUAAGUGUUGAAGGAAAGGGACUAAAGCAUUUCAUUAAUGCAAAAAAUAUAACAUAAAAAUUGUACUUGCCACAAGCUACUUGCCAUAUAAAAAAUUGAACCAAUGUAUAUCAAUGAGGUCAUCCUCAUUGCCCUAGAAAAAGGGAGAAAACAUGGUGCUCAUCACGUUUUGCUGUCUUCACAGCCAUGCAAAUAUAUUUCAAAAAUUUAAAGCCAAGAAACACAUCUACUUCAAACUUCAACUGAUAUAUGUGUUGCAAAAGAAAGAAAUAUAUCAAUUCGUAAAUACUAAUUCCCCAAAACAGAUUUCAAGUAUGAAGUUACAGUUCGCAAGAGCCAUGUAAAACAUCUCUCGAAAAAGUCUUAAUUUGUGCCAUAGGUAUGUGUGACAUCAAGCAUAUCUCUGUAGAGGAAAAAGGAGAUUCCUAUAGCAAGUAAGUAGGUGGAUCUGUGUUGCAUUCCUCAUCAGUUUAGACAGAACAUGUAAAACAUAUUGCAAGGAGCGGAUAUAAUGUUACAGCAAACAAAUGAUUAUAGAUGUUCGGAAUAACUGUAUAAGACAUGAAACUAUAGCCAUAUGAAGAUUCUAACAAUUGGGAUUAACCGAUGGUGGUAGAGACCAGGACGAACAGACAACUGCCUAGUGAUCGAAAUGGCUACACAGAACUCUUGGAAUCAUAUGACGAAGUAGAUUUCUAAAGCAUAUACAUGUACUACAAACAAGAUGCUAGAGAAAACUAUUGACUGAUUCAAACAGAAGUGAUUGAGUGCUUAAAAUUGUCCAGACAACUGAAAGAUCUUAUCCUGGAAAUCACCACAAUACGUUAAACAGAAUUAUUAUUGAAAAUUAGGUUUUGAAAAUGAAGAGAAUGGGAAAAAGGAGCUCCCUUCAGUCCAAGCAAGGAAAGAGAGGGAUAGAAAACUAUCUCCCGCAUCAUUCACUCAAUCACAGUAGCACAAAACCUAUCCUUUCUACUGAGCGGUUGGAUGAAUGAGUCGGCAGCUAAUUCAACCCCAUUUCUCCUCCUUGAGUGGGCUGAAGGAAGCUCUCUUGGACCAUUCCUCAAUUCACAAAACUUUUUACAAUUAACUUCUUCAACUGAACAGCCUUAGUAAAUCAUCAAAUCAUACAUUUUUGAUAAGAAUAUAUGAGAUUCCGAGGAAUAAAUAUACUAACCUCAAUCUACCAAUAUUACCUUUCCACAGCUUACAUUCAACUCCCCCAAAAAAAUUAGGAUAUGUAACCAGUCAGUAAUAGUUCACAACAGUUCACCAUUAUAUCUCAGAAUCAAAUUGCAGAGAGUAAAGGCAGCCUAAAAUGAAAUACGAAUACAAUAGACACAACCAAAAUCAUAGCUCAAGGGUACAUCUAUUUUAAUUUUUUGUGAAAGAAAAAGCCCCUUGUCCCCUCAUCUCUUUAAGAAAAAAAAAAACUUUUAUGGUCACUGUUGAUAGCAUACCAAAGUCUCAUCUGAAACCUGAGAAAGAUAGAUACUUUUUAUUUGACAAACAAAAAUUAAUCAACAGCAAAAUCCAUGGCAAACUUUCACAUAUAGAAAAAGUUCACUAUACAAACACAAUCUGUUAACUAAGCAGAGUCAACUCUUACCACAAACCCUAUAAUCAAUCAAAAAACACAAAGAUCUCUAAUCUACCAUUCUAAUGAGUCUAUAUACAAGGAACUGUUCAGUGAUGAAAAUCGAAGAAAUACUUAUCUGUUAAGUGAUGAAAAUCGGCCGAAUAGACACAGUAUAUGUGAAACCCUAACUCUUCAAUACUAUUCGGUACGGGGAAAACGCUUUGGCAGAGCAAUAAAUAGAGAGAAGAAACAUGGUUUUGGAUGAAUGAAAAAACAAAGAAAUUCAGAAGGAAAGGGAAAUGAGAUAAGGAAAUUUAAGAAAUUGAAAGGAAUAUAAAGGGGUAAGUGAUGGUUGCACUAAAUACGGAGAGUGUAUAAAUACACAAAGAUGAAAAUGAAAAUGAAAAGUCGCUUUCGCCAUGAGAGUGAGGUAUGAGAAAGCGACAUUGUCAACAAAAUCUUUCACAUUUACAACAACAUUAGAAAAUAUAUAACACCAAAAAAAAAAGAAAAAGACUAGUAAUCUUUAUUAGGAAUUAGUAUUAUUAUUAUCAGAAAGAGAGAGAACAUAAUGAAAAAAGUGAAAAAAAGAUGGAAGAUGUGGGGGAUCAUUUCAUCUGCAAAAUCAUACCUUCUGGAGCGCAUUAACAAGUGAGUGAGGAAGAAAGGAGGUGGAGGACAGUGAAAUACACAUUGUAGAUCAACGGUGGUUGAAUUAAAAUGUCUGGGACUGUUCAACUUUUGACCAUUUCUGCAGUCGAUUUAUGACUCUUUUUACCCCUUUUUCAGCUUCACCUAACUGUUGUAAUAAUUUGUAACAAAGUUGAGGCUGCCUCAGGUAGUUGAGCACCUUUCUGAUUCAUCACUAAAUUAGUUUGAGUUAAAAGAAAAUUUUCUUCCUUCGACUUUAAUUAUAUAUAUAUAUAUAUAUAUAUAUCGGAUUUUCAACUACACACAUAUAACUCUAAGGGGUCGUUUGGUUGGAAACAAGUUAUCCCACCAUGUAUAUGGGAUAACUUAUCCCAUCACUAUGAUAUAAAUGGUGGGAUAAGUUAUCCCAAACAUGACAACCAAACAACAUAAAAUAUUUUUAUCUCAUUACUAUUUCCUUAUCCAUCACUAUUAUUUUUAAUCCCUCACACCAAACGAGCCCUAAGCGGUUCAAUCACUCCUUGAACCUCUUUAAAAGUGAAAUAUAUAUCUUUAAAAACUCACACGCAAAUUUGUAUUAGGUAAUAAUAUGCAUGCAUCUGCCACGUAUAUAUAUAUUACUUUAAAAACAUCAACUCCUAACUUAAAUGUCAAAUCCGCCGUAGUCUCAAAUAAAGUGCAAGUAGGGACAUUACUAUAUGAAUGAGACUUCAUCCUUAUUACAUUACAAGCGAUACCUCAAUUUACUAAAAUGCUCCUCUAGUCCCAAGCUUGGUAAAUAAGGUCGUGGUAAAUUCUUUUCUUCCGGCCUUGUUGUGAUAGGCAGUGGUGGAUCCAGGAUUUAAAGAACUGUAGGCAACCAGUGGCGGAUCCAGGAUUUAAAGGUUGUGGGUGCUCACUUCCUUUAACAUAAAACUGUUAGCAAUCACAUAGUGUAAACGUAUACUAACUCAAACUCUUUAAUAAAAAAAUGUAAACGUAUACUAACUCAAACUCUUCAAUAAAAAAAGUAAAAAAAAUAAAACAACGAUUAAUAUUAUCAUCAUCAAAAACAACCUCUAAUUAUAAGUCACAAUGACCUUCUAGUAAUAUUAUCAUUUUUUGAUAAGGAAACCUUCUAGUAAUAUUAUCAUUACAAAAAGAGACUUCUAGUCUUAAAGCCAUAAUUGUGCUCGACGACUUUUCAUAUGUUGAAAACGAUAAUAAUAGCAUCAUUGCUUACAUUUGCGAAUAUCUUACGCUCUACAUAGCAAACUAAACAACCAUACAAAAAUUCAUCACCAAUACUAUUACAAAGUUCAUUUUUAAUGUACUUCAUGGAUGAGAACGCUCGUUCCACGAAAGCAGUAGCAAUGGAAAGAAUGAGAGUCAACUUGAUAAGCAAAUAAACAAGUGGUCAAGUUUGAUGCAUAUCUGACUUGACCAAUACUUUAGCAUAGGAAAAGUUAAAAGUAAAAAAGAAAGAAAAAGUUAGUCAGCCUAAACAAAUUAAGAAUAGGAAAAGUCAAAACAAGUAAAACAUUCGGAGUUGAAGCUCAGUGGCGGAUCCAGGAUUUAAAGGUUGUGGAUGCUCAUUUCCUUUAACAUAAACCUGUUAGCAAUCACAUAGUGUAAACAUUUACUAACUCAAACUCUUUAAUAAAAAAAGUAAACGUAUACUAACUCAAACUCUUAAAUAAAAAAAAAGUAGAAAAAAUAAAAUAACGGUUAAUAUUAUCUUCAUCAAAAACAACCUCUAAUUAUAAGUCACAAUGACCUACUAGUAAUAUUACCAUUACAAAAAGAGACUUCUAGUCUUAAAGUCAUAAUUGUGCUCGACGACUUUUCAUAUGUUGAAAACGAUAAAUAAUAGCAUCAUUGCCUACAUUUGCAAAUAUCUUACGCUCUACAUAGCAAACUAGACAACCAUUCAAAAAUUCAUCACCAAUACUAUUACGAAGUUCAUUUUUAUUGUACUUCAUGGAUGAGAAAGCUCGUUCCACAAAAGCAGUAGCAACGAGAAAAAUGAGAGUCAACUUGAUAAGUGAUGCUUAUCGUGAUCAACGACAGGUCUUACAGUUCGAGCAUCUACGAUCGUCGAUAAUAUAGUAACCCAACCAAGGGUUGGGGUCGUGUCCUAAGGGAGUGGUAGUGAAAAUAGUAGUUAGGAUAGAAUUUUGUUCUAGUUAGCUGUAGUUUGAGAAAUUUUCGAAUAAAAACAAAGUAAAUUCAAGUGGGUGACACAAAAGUGUCAAAUAUCAAAGGGGGUUUUGUCACAAGUAGCUAAAACAAUAAAAAUCAAGAGAAAAUUCAAGGAUGGGGAAAAGUUCUUGGGGUGUGACCGCAAUAUAUAUCGAUAUAAAUUGUUGGGUACAUUCUUUCGAUAGGAAAUUUGCAAGAUAAUAGUGACUAGGCUAAGCUUUAGAUGGAAAUAAGUUCCCUCUCGAGCAACUUACCUCGUUUCAAAUGGGUUCCUCUCGGAUACUCAUUUGCCGCAUGAAGGCCAGCCUACGCCUUACCCUACUCACUCUCUCGAGCUGAGUGUUAGGAUAUGGGACUAGGACUCACCCUCUCAGGCUGAACCUCAUGUCGACCCACUCCUUAGGCCAUCAGUCUAACAGUCUUGGUUUCGCGACCUCUCUCUUUCUCUCGAGAAAGCCGAAAACAAAUGGGUGGUUUUGUAUUUGCAACUACAAACCCAUUAAAUUAAACCACAACCACUAGGUGAAAUCACCAUUAAAAUGCAUCUAACCUAUCAGCAAACAAGACCCAACAAUAAUAUCAACACAUAUUUGCUAAAUCACACCCCAAGAAUGGAGUUUUUAGCCACACAUCAAGAAAUAAGAAAUUAUACCUAAAAUGAUAGAGAAAUCAAAUGGGUAUAAGAAAUUAAACCUUGAUUUGAACAAAGAAAGAAAAAUAGAGAAGACCCAUUUCCAAUUUGGGGAAGAUGAACUCCUUUCUUCAAGUCUCCCACAAACCCUCUCCAAACUUGAGAGAAAAUAUAAAAGCUAAAGUGAAAAUUACAAUAAUGUUUUUACUUUAAUGUUCCACACUAAAAAUCUAGUAAAAAGUUUAGUAUUUAUAGACUUCAGAAAAUAGUGAUGGCGGAUCGCUCGACGAGGUUAGUCGCGAACGCCGAAUCACUCUGUGAUUCGCCCUUCUUCUAGUUCAUCGUCGUUUGUGCUUUGCCUUCAGCAUAUGUGCGUUCUGGAUCAUUGGGCGGUAUACUUCUGCUUCGCGAAACUGAUCGGCGAAACGCCGAUUGCUCCUUUCAUCGCCUUUUUUAUCCUUCUCCUUCAGGGCUUCGCGUACUGGAACAAAGGGCGUAGUGCGUCCCUUCAGUGAAUCGCCAAGCAUGCUUGGCGAUGCUCAGGCUUUCAACUUCUUCAUUCUUUUCAGCCUUUUUGUUCCUUUUUGCACCUUAGAGUCCAUGCUUCCACUAAAACUUUAAAUACCUCAAACUUAAGUAUUUUCAUCAGAUAUUUAGACUAAAUAAGCAUUUGAGGACACUAUUUCUAUUAAAAUAAAGCCCUAAAUGAGUCCAAUUUGUGGACUCAUCAACAAGCAAAUAGCUACUCAGCUUGGUGUUUCCAAAGUAAAUUCACGUGCUUAAAAUUUGCUCCAACAAUAUUUAACACAUUAGUAACUAAGCAAAAAAAGUCAUCUACAUUCGAAUCCUUCUUUGCAAGAGCCACUAGUGUUAACUGCAAUUGGUGGGCAAAAUAAUGAAUGCAAUAUGUCGAUGGACUUUCAUUCCAAAUCAAAGUUUUAAGACCAUUUAGCUAUCCUUGCAUAUUGCUAGCUCCAUCAUAACCUUGCCCACUUAUUUGGGAUGAACUUAAUUAGUGAUCUGAAAGAAAAGUGUAGAUUGCCUCCUUUAAUGAACAAGCAGAUGUAUCACUAACAUGAAUAAUACCAAAAAAUUGCUCUAUCACUUCUCCUUCUUUGUUAACAUAUCUCAAAAUAAGUGACAUUUGCUCCUUGUUUGAUACAUUCUUUGAUUCAUCGACUAGUAUCUCAAAAUAAUCCCCAUCUAAAUCUUCAAGAAUAGAUUUGAUUGUUUCCUUAGCACAAGAAUCAACAAUAUCCUUUUGAAUACUUGGAGAACACAUCAUUUCAUUUUUUGGAGUUUUUUGUAUAAUAAUGCUUCCAACAUCUUCAUUGAUAUCUCCACACCAUUGCAAAAGUUCAAGAAAAAUACUUCUAUUUGAAGAAGAUCGAUUCUCAUCAUGUACACAGAAUGAUAAUCCUAAUUUCAAGAGAAAUCUUGUCACAUCAACUAAAGCACUCAAGCGACGCCGAGACUCACUUUUUUCUUUCUUGGACUUUUUAUCAAAGGAAGUGCGUAUUGGCUGUGAUUGAUUCAUCAAAUCAAGCAUCUUGUUGAAACACUUGUUGUGGAUGUUUUUUAUAUCUCCAACAUGAGCUCUAUAUCUUUCAAUAGCUAUGUUCCAAGCUCUAAAGCCGAUCUUUGUGAAAGCAGCAUCAACCACAUCUCCACGACUUUCACAUUUAUUUUUGAACAAGUAGCAACACAAACAAACAUCUUUUGUUAUGCUAUACUCCAACCACUUACGAUCAUUAAACCAAUUAGAAAAAAACUGUCGCAUUUCCUUUCCAAACUUAGUUUUAGGAAAUUUAUGAUCCUUAGAUUGGCAAGCUUUUUUAGAAUAUAAUAUCUCCUAAUAUCGUCACAUAUAUUAGGAUUAUAUUCUGCAAUGGACUUUCUAAUUUCGGAUCAGCUUCAAGAGAUUCUAAAUCAACAUUUGAAAUAAAUGUUUCCCUUUGAAUUUUCGGAGCUAUGGUUGAAGCGGUAGAUGGAUGAGUAGAGCUAGAACUUGGAUGCCCAAUUUUUGAUCUUGUGACAUACUUAUCCAUCUCAAUUUACAAAGAUAAAUUCCCGCAAAAAAAUCAAUUUUAUCAUAGAAUUAAUUCACAUAAUUCAAUUAAUUUUUAUUGAAAUAUAUAACUUUCUGUCAACAACCCAAACAACAAUUAAUAUAUCUAUUUGAUCUUUCAACACCACAAACAAUAAUUACUAAUAUAUGAGUCAAUGAGCACAAAAUUUUCAGUUGCACAAUUUGUAUACAUACUAAAAUUUAAUUUUUGAAUCAAGUAAGUUGGUUAGAAAAAAAUUUAUUUCAAAAGUAUUCAAAAAAAUAUAAUUUUAAUCACAAAACACUAUAUAUGUGAGACUCUAAAGUCUAAACCUAUUUAUCAAGUAACAAAAAAAGUAUGUGGAAUCUAUUUUAAAAAUUAAGACUUAAGAGUACUAGCCAUAAGCAAUGAAAAUCUCAAAACCUAAUUCCCCAAACCCUUUUUUUUUUUCAUUAUCUAACUUUAAUCAAACAUCAAAUCUUAUUACCUUGCUUUUGUAUUUUGAUUUUGAAAAGAAAAAAACUUGAUGUUUGUUGAUGGGCUGGCUACUUUCUCUUUGAAACAAGAAGAAGAAGAAUGAUUUCGUCAUUUUGUUAAAAGAAAAAAUCUCAUAAAAGCGGGCAGUGGAAAAUGUUUUAAAUCAUAGGAAAGGUUAAAAAUAAAAAGAAAGAGAAAGUUAGUCAGCCUAGACUAAUUAAGAAUAGGAAAAGUCAAAACAUGUACAAAAUUCGGAGUAAAAGAAUGCAUAUUUAUAUUCACUGGAAAAAGUUUAUAAAAAAAGAUGGGGCUGACUGGAUUCGAACACUCGCCCUCAUGCUUCGCGCGCCUUAUAUUUCAAACGUAAACCAGCGCACCUACGACUGCUUUUGUUCUAUGGGUGCUUAUUUAUAUUUAAUAACGUAUUUAUCAUAUUUUCUCUCUCUCUAUAUAUAUAUAUAAAUCCGGAGUCAAUAGGUGCUCGAGCACCCAAAACUGACUACGUGGGUCUACCACUGCUUAAUAAAACAAGGAAAAAGGUGCAAAAUUCGCUGGAAAUAAAGGUAAAAAAAAGGGUGCAAAAUUCGUAGAAAAAGGAUGGGGCUGACGGGAUUCGAACCUUGACCCGCAUUGCUUCGCACACCUUAUAUUCCAAACGUAAACCAGCGCACCCACGACUACUUUUGUUCAAUGGGUGCUAAUUUAUAUUUAUUUAAUAACGUAUUUGUCAUAUUAGCUAUAUAUUUACAAAAUUUUUGUCGGAGUCAAUGGGUUCUCGAGCACCCGAAACCAGCUACGUGGGUCCGCCUGGUGAUAGGGGGGAGUCACUCUUGCGUUCUCUCUUUUGGGUAGGUCAAUCUCGCUCUUACUAAUUUACCCCUAUUCCAUCCUAUAUCAUCCCAUGCUAUAUACACCCAUUCGCAAACGCCGCCACUUCCACUUGUUGCACUUUGAGCAUACCCCUUCGUCCGUUAUGUAGGACCAUUCAGAAACGCACCACUUCUCCCUCCUGCGCAAUGAAGAAACACCUCUGUCCAUUAUUCCCAAACAGUCGCACCCCAUCGCUUCCCGCUAUUUAUAACUACGAAGCUGCGAUGCUUCUCCCCAUCAAACACACAACAAUUACAGUUGACACACAGGUAUGCAACACCACACCAUAUCAUUCACAUACUGCCUUACUACGUCUAACCUUUUUCUUCACCAAUUUAAUUAUUUUCCUUGCACACAGAAUAAUCGCAAACACAACAUUCCAUGCAUAUGCUCUGCCAUUUAACAAGUUGUAGGUUAUUUCCUUUUGUACGUCAUUCCCUUGUCACUUUAAACUUACAUUAUGAAAGAACGCAACAUGAAUCACAUUCCAGAUGAAAUCAUUCGCUUUGUUCCUUCCCCUUGCGGCAACAAUAACAUUGACUAUAAUUUGUUUGCCUGCGUAUUUACAGUUCCCUGCCAUUUAUAACUACAGAUUUCCUAUAUAUAUGUUACUUAUGCCCUUACGAUUGAGCUAUUUGCAUCUUACUGCUACCCUCUGUUAUGCAUCACAUUCAACCCAACAAUUCUACGGAUAAUUAGUGGUUCGUCUGCUUACAUACAAUCUCCUGGCAAUUCUAAAAAAAGCCAGCAAUUAACAUUGUUGCACUCAUCUCCCCAGGUACCUGCAUUCAUCAAGAUUUUGCCCACAUGGAGACUGAAAUGGAAUUAGCAAAAUAGAGUGUACCGAUAAAUAAGAUACCAAAAAACUAUGUUGAUUAUGUGAUGAGAGUCUUAAUUAUACAAAGGGGUUCAAUAGCACCUUACAAGAAUUCAAGGCACAACGGGACUUUCAGAACGAUAAUAUUAGUUGAUGAAGAGGUAACAACAUUGACACUUUUACUUACGCUAUCGUACUAUCGUUCAAGUUUGUUGUACUUAUGCCACCCCCUGCUUAAUAUUAGGGGACAAAUAUUCAAGCAACACUACUUAAUAAGUAUAUCAAAACAUGGAAGAACUCCUUGAAGCCAAAUAAGAGUUACUACAUUGCUAAAGGACGCUUAGAUCGCGUCAACCCCAACUACUCUUCUGUGCAUAAAGAAGUUGAAUUGGCCUUUACAGACAACACAAUCAUAAAGGAGACUGACCAUGAGGUUUCAACACACAAAUUCUCUGAUGAAUUUUUAUCACUGGACGAUGCCGAUAAAUUACCUAAUGAUGCUAUUCUAGGUAACUAUCCAGACGACUAAAUUGUAAUUUUCAUGCUCCAUUACGUAAUCGGUAUCACUAAUUUACUUUACCUAUUUCCAGACUUGAUUUGUGUCUUAGUUUCAAUCAAUUCCCUCAUUCAAAAUACGAAUUCCAAGAGACGAGAAAUACUUGUUACAAAUGAGCUGUAAGUUGCGAUGAUUCAUAAUCUACCAUCUAUAUAGAGAUAUGGUGAUGUACUCACUUUUCACUUCUAACUCAUAAUCCAGCAUGGAGCAUACAACUAUUAUUCUAUGGGGGAGAUUUUGCUGAAAAUGACAGUGCAUUCCUAGAAAAGCUGAAAGAUGAUAAACCUAUACUGGACUUAUGCUACAUUAGAGUCUCAAUCUAUAAAGGUAUCCAACAGUCUAUCGUAGAUGUUUAUCGAAUAUACACCGAGUAUUGUUCUUGUUUGCAAACAUUAACAUGCUCUUCUCAUAUUAGGCAGAUUUGGGAUCUCCACUAUUCCUGUGAGUAGCGUCUUGAUCAAUCCAAUAUUCCAAAAAGCAACCGACCUUCGAGCCCGAUACAUUACAUUUUUCACAAUUAUGUUUACCACUGUUACUUUAACCCAACUAUCAAAACUAAUGUUUAAACUAUACUUUACCAUUUUAGCCAAGUUAAAUUGAACAUUGCUGUAAUAGAACAUAAUUCCUCUAUUAUCAUUGUUGUGCAAUUACAUAUUACCAUAAACCCAAAAAACAUAUGCACUGAAACCUCACUCUAAAUGGCUCACACAGUUGACUAACCUCAUCGUAAAUACAGGUGUAAAAUCAUAAAAGCCGACAACAAAGAUAUUACAGUAACACCAAGUAAGGUAAUGAGAAGAGUCAUAGAAGUUCCGUUGGUCCAUAUUCUCGAUGGGUUUUUUGCUGAUUCACUGGCAUAUACCUCUCCAUCAAUAAAAUUUAUUUGUAUGUGCAACAUAUAUUCACAAAUAUGGUAUAUUGGUGAUUUGCAGGAUUGUAUAUACAAGUUAUAUAUAUAUAUAUAUAUAUUCUACUUUUUUUUCUUUUAUAUUUUUUUUUCCACUCCUCUUUUCCUUUUUCUUUGACGGCUUUUUGAAGAUCGAUAAUGGGGAUACUUUCCAUGGCUACCUCAUCCUCAUCGACUUUCAUUGAAAUUUUAAACACCAGUGGAAUCUCGAUGUUCUCUGUUGAAGCUAGAGGCGAAAGGAAGACUUUGUCGCCAUAAUUUUUUCUUCUUCCAUUGCUAUAAUAUUUAACAAAGAAUGAUUCUUCUGAGAAUCACUAGGAUAGCUAACCUGAGGCAUAUGAUGAUGAAAAAAAUUAAUUCUCCACCCAAGUGUCGAAAGGACUUAGAGUAAAAUUCUUCUAAUUGAGCUGAGAAGUUUUAAAAGAUUAAUAGAUUCGUCAUUUUUACAUAACAGACACACCUGAAUAAGUUGAUAGUGAAUUGUCUGUUUGAAUUCACAUACCUAGGUCUAUAUAUGUUACCAUCCCCUAACAAGAAAAGUAUAUGUGUCUAGACAUAUGAUGUUUGAUGAAAGCACAUUGCCUUAUGUACACUCAAAUCAAUAUCAUGCAAAAUCUAAUAUAUUUACUCACUUAGCUAUUUUUGUAGAAUUUUUAUCUAAAAUGCAUGCACCUAACAUUACCAACUCCACUUCAGGGGUAUAAUUGUCCAGCUUCCCUCACCUUUCAACCAAUGACAAUAACUAUAAUGCAACUAAUGAUACAACAAUAUGUGUGUCCUUCCAUUUAGACAAUGUGAGGACAAAUGAUAAAGCAAAUGAAGAGGUUCUACAUGGUUUUUAGCCGCUUGAUUUGAUAGUCAUAGAAGCUCACAAUCUUAGCAUAACGAUCAAGAAUAGAACGAUGCGGGGAGAGCCAAUCCAUACUCAAAAUAACAUCAAAAUCUACCAUCCCUAAAAUGAUGAAGUCUACCCAAGUAUCAUACCUGGCCAAAGAAAUAAGACAUGAUCGAUACAGUCGAUCCACCACUAAGGAUUCACCCACUGGUGUAGAAACAUGAAUAAGCACAUGCAUGCAAUCAGAAAACAUAUCAAACCCAAUAGCAAAAUAAGUAGACAUAUACGAGAAAGAAGACCCCAAAUCAAAUAAUGCAAAUUCAGGUCAAUGGAUAAUUGGGAUGAUAUAUGUGAUCACAACAUCAGAAGUGUCAGCUUCAGGUCUUCAUGGAAAAGCAUAACAUUGGUCAUCUCGUCCAUCUGCAGUCUGAGUAGAACCUCUACCUCCACUUUAUGGAACUAUAGCACCCCUACCAAAAGUCCUACCACCUCUACCUGACUGACCUCUACCUCGACCCCUGGUCAGAGGCACUGAAUCUCUAGUUGGAGCAGCUGAAUAAGUACGUUAGGGUCCUGAGUGAGUCCGAAGAGGACAUUGUCACAUCAUAUGACCUGGAUCCCCACAAGUAAAGCAAGAUCUCGACACAUAUAACUAUUGUUGUGAACUAGACGAACUACCAUGACUACCUCAACUAAAACCAUAAGAUCAUCAGGCUGACUGCCCACUGUUAGUUGUUGGCAUAAAAGUAUGAACUGAUCCACAAUGCUGAAAGAAGCUACUAUUUCUAUGUCAACCUCUACCUCCAGAAAACUGACCAGUAGACAGGCCAUCUAGGGCUCUCCAAACUCUUCUAAAAGCAUCAACUCCAUCUCUUUGGCGGUGCUCACAAUAGAUUAGAAGGAACCCCCCUCUCUGGCUGGUCGGAACACAUACGAGCUGGUAGAGAAAUUCAACCCUCUCACAACCUUGUGAACUCUCAAUGUCUCAUCAAGAACAAUAGUCAAUGCAUGCCUAGAAAGCUCAUAGAAAUAGGCCUCACACUCGGUCACAGUCAAACUUCCCUAAGUUAAGCUCUCAAAUCUUAGACGAUUCUCUUCUAUCAUAUUCUAAGGAAUGAAGCAGCCCUUAAAAUCACUAGCGAACACAUCCCAUUUACCGGGGGAGAUCCAAUUGGUCUAGACCUUACAAAAGUCCUCCACUAAUAUUUGGCGCGACUAUGAAGUUGAAGUGCAACAAAACGGACACCACGGGCAUCCACCAUACCCACGGGUUCGAGCAUCUCAUGGCACAAAGUCAAGAACUCAUAAGCAUCCUCGCUCUUAUCACCUUGAAACUGGGGUGGUUUCAUCAUUUGAAACCUCUCAUAACACUAUUGAUCAGCUGUUGUCAGAAUAACCUUGAGAGUAAUCUAUGCACCAAUAGUCAAUGCAGGAACCACUGGUGGCUAGCCCACCUGAACAUAUAUACCCGGAGUCUGUUGCUGACCUGGGGUCUGCGCCUUUACCCUCAUCGGAGCACAUUGUGGCAUACCUGUCGCACUACCCUGAGAGAGGUUCUCUAACACACAUAACAUCCUCAACAAAGUCUCAUGAAACAAAGGAGCUCCAAACUUGGGAGGAACCUGGUCCUCAACAACCUUAACCUAUGGCUCUGGAGAAGCCUUUCUAGCUCGACAUUUGGCUGGUGCUGCUCCACGAGCACGACCUCUAGUCGGUGCUACUACACGAGCACGACUUGUGUCUCGGUCCCUCCAUCUACCCCUAGUUGGGGUUUCAACAACAAGCUCAGCGACUGCGUUUAUUCUACUAUUGGAAACAAAAGCUCUGGUCCAUUGCAUAUGCCAAAACAACACGCGUCAAUUCAACAUUAGCGAAGAAAAUCACGCACGAUAAGAAAAGAUGAAUAAAAAGAAGUUUUCUAACAAUCUUUGUAGAUUCUUAAAGAUAAGUACAUACGUCUCUGUAUCGAUCUUCAAGACUCUACUUAGACUUGGCUUGUGCGCACAUGAGACCUAUGAACCUGGGGCUCUGAUACCAUUUGUCACGAUCCAAAAAUGAACGUGAUGACAUUUGUCUAUUCCCAUCAAGAAGAGUCAGCCUCAACCCAACAAAAAUGAAAAAAAUGUAGAAAUAUAAAGUAAGAACAAGACAAAUUAAGGCAGAAAAAAUUCAUUCUAAACAAAUCCCUAAAACCUGGUUGUCACGCGUACAAGUCAUUAUAUUGCAUAACGUGCGAAAUUUAAGAAAUAAUUACAAGUCUUAAUCUUUGUUUCUCAACUAGAAUAAAGCUUUAGAGAAAAUGGAGAAAGGGCCCGCCAUGAUGACAAACAACUACCUCUCAAGUCUUUCAACGAGCCUCGAAUUUCAGGAGAAGAAGAAAAAAAUCACAUGGGUCCGGGUUCGGAACCUAGACAAGUGUAGAGCAAGGGGUGAAUACCAACAACAUGGUAUGCAACAAACAACCUAAUAAACAAAGCAUCUAUCUAGACAAUGAAUACCCCUUACACUCCAAACGAACCUCCUCAAACUACAAUCUGCACAGAAAUCGUCCCAACCUAACAAUUCUACAAUACAUGACUCACAAGGUCCAAUAUCCACACUUCAAUAGUCACAAUCAACAACCAAACGAAUCAAAUAACUUAUUCUUAAAUUCAAGUAGUUCACUCACACGCAACAAGUACAUAAAUCACAUAGCAAGCAAGUCAUGCAUAAGCAUCAAAUGCAUCAAGUCACAAUAAUCAAUCUCUUGAGGGAACCAUUUUCCAUCGGCACAAUAUCACUAGCCGAAACCAUUUCCCACCAGUACAAUAUCAAAUCACUAGCCGAAAUUAUUUCUCAUUGGCUUUGUAUCGAAUUACUAGCCGGAACCAUUUCCUAUCGGCUUUAUAAACACUUGUUGGAAAUGACCUCGGCAUCACAACACUCACCGACAAAGACCUCGACAUCAUAAACUCACAAGUAAAAACCUCGGCAUCAUAAGUCAUCAUAUAUCUCAUCACGGUGCUCACAAUCAAUGUAUACAUGCAAUAUCACACCACAUGAAAGAGAAAGUAAUUCACAUAAUUCAAGUCCACAUUCAUGCUUUCAAACAUUUCAUCAAACAAUCAACACGAGUCACAAUAAGGCAAUUCACAUCAUCAUGUUCAUCACAUAGUCUUUUUCAUUUCAACCCCUUUUUAUUCAUUUAGAUGUACCAAGUGGACAAUUAAACCCUUCACUUCAUCCCCAUUACUCCCAACACACAAGUAACAAGAAAGUAUACAAAUUCUAUUAUAAUACAAGGUUUAGGAGAUCAUUUGACUUAAAUCAAUUAACAGUCACUCUAAGAGUUGAGUCUUCCCCUUCCGAAUCACUUCCAAAGUCAUACAAUCUAUAAUAAUAAUCUAGUGUUCACAAUCACUAAUAGGAAACAAGAAUUCUCGCAUCAAUUAUAUGGAGAAAUGGGUCAAUCAACUCAAAACCCAAUUUCAAAAAGGAGGUUUGAAUUCGGAAAACAAUACUUGAAAAUGAUGUUUAAGACUUUAGAAACUCAUUAGUGAAACCCAUUUCAAAAAAUGGAUCAAAACUACUUCAAAAUCACAAUUUCUCUAAGUUCUUGGGUUGUUGAAGAUAACCCCAAAUUUCUCAUUUAAAAAGCUUGAUUUGAGCACAUACAACCAUAAAUAAUAAAGGUGUAAUUGAAGAUUUAAAGUUAAGAAUCUUCACCCAAAAUUUUCCUAAAAAAUCUGGUCCAAAUUGCCACCUCAAAACUCAAAAAUGGUAAAAGCGACUUAAACCCCAAAAUAAUCUUUGAUUGUCGCAAAAGAAAUCAGGUGUUCGCUUUCGCUAAAAAUGCGGGCAUCGCAAAAGCGAACGGCCUUCGCUUUUAGCGAAGGUCGCAUAAGCGAACGGCCUUCGCUUUUAGCAAAGGUCGCAUAAGCGAAGGAUUCUUCACAAAUGCAAAGGUCAACAAGGGUUGACCCUUCACAUAAGAGAAACAAACCUUGCUAAAGCGAGCCACCCCUCGCAAAAGUUGAGUUCACCAGAACAAAGACAUUAGAAAAUCAGCAACACUUUAUACAACGAAAAGGCCUCCGGGAUUUGUUUGAAACUCCAUAUUCACAAACCACAUAUGAAAAUCAAUUGUACUCAACGUUUCGGAUUCAACGAAAUCGUCAAAACAUGAAUCUGAGGUCUCCUUGACCCGAUAUCUGUGAAAUCCACAAGAAACUAACUCAAAAUCUAAAAAUGCUAAAACAAGUUUGAGACCUUUCAACUCAAAAAUCAACCAAGACCUCACCUAGGCCUAUAAUCAUCCCUCGAAUCAAAUGGAACUCUCAAAAUUCUGAUCCAAGCAUCCGAACUCUAAAUGUUGACCAAAGUCUACCAGAGGCUGAAAUUCCAUAAUUUCACAAUUUAAGACCUCAAAUCCUCAAAAAGACUCAAAAUCAGAAACCGACAACUCUCACAAACCAGAUUUCAUAUUCUGGACAGAUGGACCUGACGAAAUUUUAAUCCAAAACUCGAAACUCCUAAAGACACCGAAAACCACUUUCUUACAACUUAGCCUUUCAAACUCAAAACUUACCAAAAUUAUCAACUUUUAACUCAAACUUCAAAACCAACUUCUCAAAAUUCAAAUAUAGAAGACCCAGGAACAAUAUCAGAAAGGAAAAGUGAUAAAUUCAUGAAACUUUUCAAAAAUGACCGAUCGAGUCAUUACAGGUUUAGUGUUGAAGCUGAAUAAGGCAGCCACUGCAGCUAAAAUGACAUGGAUCAUGUACAUUUUUCAUGACAUUGGAGUUUAUCUUAAGAUAGUGCCUCCUUGUUUUAUGACAACUUGGGUGCUUUAUAUAUGAUGAUAAAUCUAGAUAUGUAUGCUAAGGACCAAACAUGUAGAAAUGAACUAACAUUUUGUUCGAGAAAAAGUAGCUAGCAGACAAUUAGUAACACAGUUUGUAAGGUCCAAGGACUAGUUAGUCACUUAGUUGACACUUGAUGUUUGCGUAAUCAAUGACACAACUUUCGAUGCAAGUGUCUACGAUCGUACAAAGAGUAUAAUAACCCAACCAAGGGUUGGGGUCCAGUCCCAACGGAGUGGUUUUGAGAAUUAAUAGAAAAAUAAAAUUUAGUUCUAACUAGUCGUAGCUAAAAACAUUAACGAUUAAAAAUAUUGUAAAUUGAAGGGAGACACAAAAGUGUCAAAUAUCGAUUUGAGGGUUUUGUCACAAGUAUAACAAAAACAGUAAAAAUAACAAAGAAAUCUAUGAAUGAGAGGGUAUUCUUGGGAUGUGACCGCAAUAUGUAUUGGUAUAAAUCGUUGGGUACAUGCUUUCGAUAGGAAAUUUGCAAGAUAAUAGUGACUAGGCUAAGUUUUAGAUGGAAAUAAGUUUCCUUUCGGGCAACUUACCCCGUUUUAAAUGGGUUCUUCUCGGACACCCAUUUGCCGCAUGAAGGCCUACCUAUGCCUUGCCCCACUCACUCUCUCGAGCUGAGUGUUAGGUUAUGGGACUAGGGCUCACCCUCUCGGGCUGAACCUCAUUUCCAUCUACUCCUUAGGCCAUCAGUCUAGCGGUCUUGGUUUCACGACCUCUCUCUUGAGCAAGCCGAAAACACAUGGGGUGGUUUUGUAUUUGCAACUACAAACCCAUUAAAUUAAACCACAACCGCUAGGUGAAAUAACCCUUAAAAUACAUCUAACCUAUCAGCAAACAAGACCCAACAAUAAUAUCAACACAUAUUUGCUAAAUCACACCCCAAGAAUUGGGGUUUUUAGCCACACAUCAAGAGAUAGAAAUUUAUACCUAAAUGAGCUUGCAUUCAAAUGGGUAUGAAGAUUUAAGUCUUGUUACAGGCCAAGAGUGAAGAAUCCGAGAGACCCAGAGAUGAAAUCCUCUUCCUCUUCAAGUUUCAAAACCCUCUCCAACUCAGAGAAAAAGUACUAAAAUUAUAUUAAUUGUUUCACACUGAAAAUCUUAUGAUACUAAAAAUCUCCUUACUAAGCUAUAACUCUUAACGAGUAUUUAUAGUUUUCAAAAAUCUAUGUUACACCGGGUCUUUUGGCAAUAUUAGUCGGAAUUGCCGAUCAACUCGGCGAUUCACCCUUUGGUGUAGUUCAUCGCCGUCUUGCACCAUCCUUCGGCAUCGUCGUGUUCUGGGUCAUUGGGAAGUAUUGCUUCACGGAACUUCUUGGCGAUGCGCCGACUGCUCCUUUUUUCCGCCGACUUGAUCAUUUCCUUCAGGCUCAGCACACUGGAACAAAAGCCGAAGUGAGACCCUUCAGCGACUCGCCAAGUGGACUCGGCGAUCCUCAUGCCUUCGUUUUCUCGUUCUUUUCACCUUUUUUUGUUCCUUUUUGCGGUAAUGGUGUCCAUGCUUUCCUUCGAACUUCAAAUACCUGAAACUUAAGUGUUUUCAUCAGAUAUUUAGACUAAAUAAGCAUUUAAGAACACUAUUUCUAUUAAAAUAAAGCCCUAAAUGAGUCCAAUUUGUGGACUCAUUAACACCACCAACUUAAAUAUUUGCUUGUCCUCAAGUAAAACUCAAGUUCAGCAGUUCAAAUAGAAUGUCUCAAAUAGUGCUACACAAGACUAAAUCAUAAACAUACACAACAAGACUCAAAUUACUCAUGCAAAUAUCAAUUGUGUACUCAAAGAUUCAAGUUGUGACACACCAUUACCAAAGAUUCUCAUGCUCGCAAUACUUGCUACUUGUGCAAAUUCAAGCUCAACAAAAAGUAUCUAAAUGCACUCACAUAAAAAAUGAUUCCAUAUCCACACACGGAGGUUAAUCAAUUCAAGAUCAGGAAUCAGAUGCAACGCUCACACUCAAAAAGAGGAACACAAUGCAUGUUUUCACCCAUAGGCUUGCCCUUAUUUUCCAAUCGAUCUUCUGUUAGGCUCACUCAAGAUAAAAAAAAGGUCUUUCUAAGGCUUGUAAUGGGACUGAGUGCAAAGGUAUGGUAAUUUGGGCUCAGUGACUUUUUCCUCAUGGGAUGUGGUAUUCUCAAGGCAUUCCCUUCUUUUCCUUUAUUUAUUCUUUUUCUAGUGCUUUUAAGUCAUCUUUUUAUUCACCUCCAAAGAUUGCUUGGAAACCCAAUUUCUUCUAUACUUUUAUUCCACAAAUUAUAUAUAUAUCUAUAUAUUAUUUAUUUUUGAAGGGUUUCCAUUGUUCCGCAACACCAUGGGUUAAGGGAGACUUUUCUUGCACUUCUUGAUUCCUCCUUUUCCUUUUCAACACACCCCCAACUUAGACUUGUGGCUUAAGUUGGCUAUUCACUAAACUGCAAAUCAAGAUGAUUAUAGGUAGUGGGUCAAGUAAGGUCUAUGUUCAUCAAGGUUCUUCCAAAGAAAGGUAAGGCUCAAAAGGUGUUCAAGAGAGUUUCACACGCUCAUUGUUGGCCACAAAAGAGGUAUAUGUCAAAUUUGCCACACUCUUCAAAAGUUGCCUAAGAUCAUUUCAAGAGCACACCUUACUAAAUCAAUCAGACUAACGAGACAAAUUCUAGGUUUAUUCAUGCAAGAUUCAAAGUAAGCUAAUCACACAAGGCAUCGACACUUAAGUGAAAUAAUACUACACACUUUUUCUAGUGUGCAACGGUCAUUACAAGAGAAUCAAUUCGAUAAAUGACUAAUCACAACGAGAUGCAAAGAGUUAACAUAUUGUUUAUGCAACUUCAUUUGGUCUCGUCGCAGCCGCACGUUCAUGUUUGUUCAAUUGAGAGCACCAUUCAAGUUAUCGGUAUUGAUCAAAACCGAGACUUCAAUUUGUACAAGAACAACCACUUUCAACACAAGAGGUGGCGAAAUUUUUUGAAAAAUGAAAUUUUUUCGGAAGGGUGUCAAAAGUAUUUUGCAAUUUAAAAUAAAAGGAGCCAUAAGCUUAAACAUCCACAGAAAGCAGAUAAAACAGAAUUUUAAACAGAACAGGCCAAAUAUAAACACAAAACACGAAUUACAAUUAGCACACAAAAGGUGAGCCUCACCCCACCACAAAUAAAAACAUUUGUCCUCAAAUGCAAUUAAUAAGUAUCCAACAGUUAAAGUAAUGAAAGAACAGAGAAAGAGGUAAAGAUGGGAUCCUGUCUACACGCUUGCUGCAUCUGUCGGGGCAUUGUUGCCUGAUGCAUUAGCCUGAAAUUCGACAAUGAUCCCCGGAUUGUCAUUCUCUCAUUGUGUUCAUUUGCCCUAGCUUCUGCAACAAUGUUAGCAGCAACCAUUCUGUCCACGUCAUGGCUCGCCAAAAAAGAGUUUAUAGCCAUGUACACUCCACGGUUCCACGAAGGAAUAGUGGGAUCAAUAAGGACCCUUCUGCUGGAGCUCAUUUUCUUACUUUCUCUUCUCUCUUUUGCCAGUUCUGCUAUCUUCUUGCUCUUUUGAAAUCUCGUGCUUUUACAUGUUGGGGUGACAUAUCUCUCCCUACGACCUUUGGUCUAGCCAUUUCUGUAAAAGACUUCGAGACAAAGUUGGACAAUAUUUAAACAGGGGUAGGGUUGUCCUGGGUGCAGAAUUGCUUCACCAAAGCAGUUGGUGAAGUGCGCAUCCAAUUAGGCAGUUCACUGAAAAUGAUGCAUAAAUGGUACAAGGGUGCAGAAAAAAAGGCAGGAGGCUUUCGGUGAGUCACCGAGUGUGCUUGGCGACAUCGAACUUACUGCUGAAAGUAACAAAUCAAUCAAUACAUGCAGUUAAAGGCAAAAUGGGGACGUUAAGCGAACCGCUGAGCAGUUCGGCGAGCUCGAUUUAGCUUGCCAAACUACCCAACGUGCCUAUUUUCAACCCAUUUCUUUCAAAUUCAACCCUGUAACCCCUGAUAACGCAAUGUAAGUUGUACAACACAAAUUCAACGAAGACCCAACACAAUUUUAGCACUCCCAUAGCAAAAUAAUUUAACUCAAAAGCACAGUUGAGUGGGAUUCCACCAAUUUCGCAAAUAUUACCGAAUAAUAAUCGAUAACGUAUGUGAUCUCAUCGACUCGGAGACUCAGCAAGGAUUUUAUACUAUUAAUCAUUAUGCAAAUGAGUACAAAUUUUGAUAAAAUAACUGAGGGGUUCGAUUACCAACCUUUGGUGCUGAAUUAGAUCGUACUGACAUGCUAGGCAGCAAUGCGAUCCAAAUCCACGCACAAUUCGACACUUAAAAAUACUUUAAAAUUGCCAGAAAUAUGAAGCUAAAGUGCAGGUGUGAGUUUGGUAGGAUGAAGAAAAAAAUGAGAGGAAAUGAAUGAAGUAGAACUUUUAAACCUGUUGCUUGCAAAAACUGUUCAGUUACCACCCAGUCGGCGAAGUGAGUCAGGCUCGCCCAAUCACUGUGCGAAGCGCCAAGUGAUUACUAACUUCGCCUAAUGAAAUAGGAUCUGCAGGUGCUUUUUGAUUUUCGAAGUAAACUAGGAGUGAUUUUUCCACCUCUCUCUAACUUGAGAAGAAAUAUUGAAGUUAAGGAUCAACAAUAUUCAAAUGAUCAGAAGUACUGUUCGAUUAAGAGUAUGAACAACCGUGAAUCAUUACAUAAUUGAGUAGUAACUCUACUAGUUUAGUGUUUGUAGGAGUCUAAGAGCAUGUUUGACACUGUUGGUGGGAGACAAGAAACACUUAUUUGAGAUUUUUUUGGUUGAAAAAUUAAGUGUUUGGCAAAUAAGUAAAACUACUUUUAAAUGGAAGUAGAAAUAAUUUUUUUGUCGUUGGGAAGAAGCUAAAAUUGUGUGCUUCUUAUAAAAACAAAAGCAGAAAAUUAUUUUUUUAAGACUACAAUAUCCCUUUAAUAUAUACAAAUUUACCAAUAGAUCCAUUAUUAAUUAAUUAGCAUAUCUAAUAAGUUUUGUUAAAGUUUUAUUUUUUAAAACAUAUUUUUUAUUUUUUUAUUUUUUUUAUUUUACAUUUGUGUAUUAUUAUUUAAUAUUUAUAUUUUGUAUAUUAUUUUACACAUAAUUAGGGGGGAAAAAAGGUAACACCAAUAUUUUUGUAAGAUUAGGAAAAAAAAUAACAAUUAAAGAUUUUUUGCCCCCCUCAAAAAAAGGUAAAAUAUUGAUUGAAAAUUUGAAUAUGUACAUUUUAAUUUACUAAAAAAAAAAAAAAUUAUUUUUUUAGAAUAGAUAUUUAGGGCUUGUUUGAUGUAUCUGUUGGGAGUCUACAAACACUUAUUUUGAGAAAAAAAUAUUUUUUUUUGAAAAAUUAAGAAAUUCUUUUUAAGUGGAAGUAGAAACCAUUUUUCUGCUGUUGGGAAAAAGCUAAAAAAAUUUGCUUCUUAAGACAAUAUCCAACCUACCUCUAUUUUACUCUUCAUUCUCUAUAUUUGGAGAGUAAAAUAGAGAAUGAGCACUCCAACGCCUCUUUAUUUUAGACUCUAUUCUUCAUUUUUAGAGAGUUGAAUAGUUUGGAGAACUACUUUUCACAUUCUCUUUCACUUUUUCAAUAUUUUAAUAUUAUUUCUAUUAUUUUCUAAUUAACAUAUUAUUUUACAUAUAGUAUCAUUAAAAUAUCUAAUAUUCAUAGUUCUUUUUAAAUAUAAUAUAAUAUUUUUAAAAUAUAUAUUAUUUAACAUAUACUACUUUCAUCCCGGAUUAAUAAUAUUUCAAUUUUUUUUAAAUUUUCGUCAGUAAUAUAAUUUGAUUUUAUUAUUAAUUUUUGAACGUGCAUUCGGAGUUUUGAAAUCACAUUUUGCAAUUAUUGCAGAAUCGUCACGUUUUUGAGAAAGAAGGUGUUACAUGAUAUAAUUACUACAUGUAUUAUAGUACACAACAUAAUAAUCGAGGAUGAACGUGAUCUUAAUGCACCAAUUCAAGAUGUCGUAGAGGUUCCAACUCCGACAACAUAAACAGUGGUAGAUGAAAAUCUUCGAUUUGAACAAUUUUUAGCUAGACAUAAAAAAAACUAACGACAAAUAUGCUCAUUUUGAACUCCGUAAUGUAUUAGUAGAGUAUUUAUGGGAGCAACGUAAUAAUUUUGACAGUUGAGUGUUUAUGUAAUUGUAUUUCACUUUUAUUUGAAUUUAUCCAUUGAUUUGUAUAUUAUAUAAUAUUUUGUUGCAAUUUAUGUUAUUUAAAAAUGGGAAACUUGCAUAAAUAUACAACAUUAAAUAAAUAUUUACCAUUUAUAGCAAUAACAUUUUUUUCUCAUUUGAUCACUUUUAAUACAUUUAUAAUACAAUUUUAAUACAUAUUACAAAGAACAAUUUAUUAUUCACAUAUAAUACAAGUUUUAUUGAUGAUAAUACAUUUAUCACAUAUUUUAAUAUACUUAUAAUACAAUUUGUCAAUUUCUUACCAAACAAGCAUAAUAUAUUUUUAAAAAACAAUUAUAAUACAUAUAUAUUGCAUACCUAAUUCACUUUUAAUACAUAUUGCAGCUUUAACAUAGUAUUGCUAAAAAUGGUAAUAAAUAAAAGUAUUGCUAAAAUCAGUAAUUAUUUAUUAAAAGGUAUCAUUCCAAGUAAUUUUUCCUUUAAAAAUUUAGAAUAAAAUAUAAUUUUAUAUCACAUGAAAAUUAUAUAAAGUGAUUAUUUGGGAAAAAGAAAGAAAUGAAUCAUAUUACGAAAUAAGAAAUAAUAAUAUAAUGUUAAGGAGAGAGAAGAAGAUUCUUUUUUAGAGAGUAAAAUAGAGAAUUGAGUUGGAGUUGGUUGUCUGAAAAAAUAGAGAACUCAAUAUUUGGAGAGUAAAAUAGAGUAUAAGAUUGGAGAUGCCCUAAAAAAAAGCAUAAGUAGUAAUUAUUUUUUUCAAGACUAAGAGCCUGUUUGGCAUUACUAUUGAGAGUCCAAAGCACUUAUUUUGAGAAAAAAAACAUUUUUUUUGAAAAAAAUUAGUGUUUGGCAAACAUGUAAAACUGCUUUUAAAUAGAAGCGGAAACAAUUUUUCUACUGUUGGGAAGAAGCUAAAAAAUUCUGCUUUUAAAAAAAAGCAGAAGCAGAUUUUUUUUAAGACUAAAAUGUCCUAUAUAUAUAUUAUUAUUAUUAUUAUUAAUUAACUAACAUAUCUCAUAAGUUUGGUUAAGUUUCAUUUAAUAAUUUUAUUUUUUAUUUUUAUAUAAUAAAUUUUAUAUUUUAUUUUACGUUUACGUACUAUUAUUUUAUUUAUUAUUUUACGGAUUAUUUUAUAGAAUUAGAAAAUAAGAAGAAGGUAACAACAAUACUUUUGUAACAUUAGAUAAAAACAACAAUUAAAGAUUUCAAUCCUUCAAAAAAAGUAUAAUAUUAAUUGAAAAUUUGAAUAUGAACAUUUUAAUUUAAUAAAAAUAAAAUUUUAUAUUAAUUUCUUGUAAUAGAUGUUUAAACUAGUUUUUCUCAAUAAAAUAAUCUUAAUAUUAAAAGUACAUUAAUACUUGCUCUUAAUCGCAAUUUGACUCUCAAAAGCACUUUUUGAAAAAGAUUAGUCAAACACAAUUUGCUUAUAAAAAACACUUUUCAAAUGAAUUAGUCAAACACAAAUUAUUAUUUUUCUCAAAAGCUAUUUUAAAAAAGUGUUUAUGAAAAUAAGCAGUUUUUAUUAGAAAUGACAAACAAGCUCUAAAAUGUCUCUUCCAUAAAUGUGUGUGUAUAUAUACUAGAUAUUAGGUUCCCGCGCUAGCGCGGGCCCAAUAUAUAUUACUUCCUCAAUGAAUUAUAUAAAUUUUUAUGACUGUAAAUUAUUUCAUUAAGGGUAAAAUAAAUAUUUUAUAGUGAAAUUGUUACUUAAUAUAGAAAUGUGACAUUCUUUUGGGACUGACUAAANNNNNNNNNNNNNNNNNNNNNNNNNNNNNNNNNNNNNNNNNNNNNNNNNNNNNNNNNNNNNNNNNNNNNNNNNNNNNNNNNNNNNNNNNNNNNNNNNNNNNNNNNNNNNNNNNNNNNNNNNNNNNNNNNNNNNNNNNNNNNNNNNNNNNNNNNNNNNNNNNNNNNNNNNNNNNNNNNNNNNNNNNNNNNNNNNNNNNNNNNNNNNNNNNNNNNNNNNNNNNNNNNNNNNNNNNNNNNNNNNNNNNNNNNNNNNNNNNNNNNNNNNNNNNNNNNNGUAAUUUUUCAAAUAAUAUAUGUUAUUCCCUUCGUCUUAAUUAUACAAUUCGCGUAAAAUUUUGAGAGUUAAUCGAAUUUGUAAUAUUUUAAAUUUAUUUUUUAGUACUAUUUAAAAAGGAAAAAAUUAAAAUAUAAUGCCCAAUGUAUUCAAUUAUUCCAUCUCUUUCUCCUUUUUGACUUAAUUGUGUGAAUGUUUUUAAUUUAUUAUCAUCAAAUUUUAUAAAUAAUAUUCAUUUAGAAUUUUAUAUCAAGUUAAAAUCAGAUAAAUAUAUUAAUACGGAUAUUGUAGUAAAGUAAUGAAAGAGGACAAAGAGGAAUGAGUGAAUGGGGACAUUAUAAUAUGAUGUUUUUAAUGUAUUUUGUAGGGUUAGAAUAAUAUGUGGGACCCAUUGGGUGUAUUUGAGUUUCCAAUAAUGAAAAGGAAAGCCACGUGGACGGUUAUGAUUAGGUAAUUAAGAUGGAUCUAUUAAUGAGGACUUUCCUCUUGUGUGUGAAUGUUUUUUUGGUCAAUUUGAGGGGAGCACACGUGUCGACGCAGAGGCGUGUGCUAUUCCCUCUUCUUAUAUAGUAAUACUAAUAUAUCUCUUAUUAGUUAAUUAACAUAUCUCAUUUUUUUCGUUAAAUUUCAUUUAAUAAUUUUAUUUUUUUAUUUUUAUAUAACAAAUUUUAUAUUUUAUUUUACGUUUAUGUAUUAUUAUUUUUAUUUAUUAUUUUGCAGAAUUAGAAAAAAGAGGAAGAAGGUAAAAACAAUAUUUUUGUAAGAUUAGAAAAAAAAAGAAAAAAAUAACAACUAAAAAUUUCAACCCUUCAAAAAAAAUGUACAAUAUUGAUUGAAAAUUUGAAUAUUAACAUUUUAAUUCAAUAAAAAUAAAAAUUUGAUUAAAUACCAAGCAAAAUAAAUUUAAAAAUUAUUCCACAAAUUAAAUCACUACAUACAAAAAUGAACCACAAAAAUAAAUAAAAUCGUAAUUUUCAUUUUUUCUAAUCCCACAAAAGUAUUGUUAUUACUUUUUAUCUAAUCCUAUAAAAUAAUACAUAAAAUAAUAUAUAAUAUAUAAAUAAUCAUAAAAUAAUAAAUAAAUACAUUUUUAAAUUAAACUUAUGAGAUAUAUUAAUUAAUUAAUAAGAGAUAUAUUAAUAAAUAUAUAUGUACGACAAGAAUAUUCUGAUCUUAAAAAUAUAAUUUUCUUCUGUUGCUUUUAAGAAGCGUAAAAUUUUAACUUCUUUCUAACAAUAUAAUAAUCUAUACUUGCUAUUGUACUAUUAUUCUAUAGCUAGAAUAGAACUCUCAUUUUACAUGUAUUGGUUGUAGUAGGAGGCUAACUCUCUCCUAUAAAUAGGAGCAUAUGUAAUCUCAAUCAAUAUCAUCAAUAAUAUGACAAAAUGACAUAAAUAGUCUCUUAACUAUAUGAGUAGGUCUAAAAUGGUCCCUUAAUUAUACACUUGAUGAAUUUAGUCCUUUAACUAUUCAAAAACUUAUUAGCUUUGGUCUCUUAACUAUACACUUAACGGUUUUAGGCCCUUAACUAUACUUACCGAAUUUAGUCCUUUAAGUAUUCAAAAACUUAUCAGGUUUAGUCUUUGUCCAUUUUUAAUACAAAUAGCUUAGGUUUAUAUUAACGGAACCCAUACCUCGAGAAAUUAAAUCCUUUAGCAAUUUUUUCUGUUGUUUCUCUUUAUCCGAGACUUUUUCUUCAAAUUAACCUUAUGCGAAGAACCUUAACCUCAACGAUUUAAAAUAAAAUUUACGAGGAAAGAAAAUAUAAGUCAUAAUUUUAUUCAACAGAGGAUAAAAUGAAGCAUAUUAUUGCUACUAAGGACUUGAAUAUGCUAAAUUUUAUUAUAAAAAGAAAAAAAAUCGUUACCCGUUAAAUUCAAAGUUUGUUCUCCAACGACUUCAUUGAACGGAAUUUGUUUAAUUUUUCAGAAAUUAAAUUUUAUAAAAUGGUAGAUUUGCAAAUUUUUUUAAAUAGAUCAAUUUUACUAUUCUAUUCAUUUUAUUUUACGUAAAGAAAUUUGAGUAAAUUAAAUAAAAUCCGCACUGAUUAGCAUAUUCAAGUGCGGAUUUAAGUCAUUAACAACAAUUAUAUGCUUAAUUUUAUCCUCAAUUGAAUAAAAUUAGGACUUAUAUCUUCUUUCCUCAUUAAUUUAAUUUUGAAUCGUUGACGUUAUUGUUCUUUUCAUUAGAAUAGUUUGAAGAAAAAAGGACUGGGAUAGAGAAACACUAAAAAAAUAAGUUAAAGAUUUUAUUUCACUAAAAUUUUCAUUAAUAUAAAGCUAAGCUAUUUGUAUUAAAAAAUGAACAAAGAUCAAACCUCAUAAGUUUUUAAAAACUUAAAGGACUAAAAUCGGUAAGUUCAUAGUUAGUGGACUAAAAUCGGUAAGUGUAUAUAGUUAAGGGACCAAAGCUGAUAAGUUUUUGAAUAGUUAAAGGACUAAAUCCGUUAAAUGUAUAGUUAAAAGACUAUUUUAGACCUACUCCUAUAGUUAAGGGACUAUUUAUGUCAUUUUCUCUCAAUAAUACAAACAAUUCUUUCAUUAGAUUUCUUCAUAUACAAGCAUAUCUUAUCAUUACUAUAUAUAUAUAUUUGGUAGUUUAGUCCUAAUAGGUAGGAACAAGGUAGAUUGAUGUUUUGGUAUAAAAAAAAAGGGAAGAAGAAAACAUUGCACAUUGAAGUGCAUGCUAAUUGAUUUUAAAAGAUUCUAACUUUUGAGCAAUAAAAAAUGAAGGAUAGGACAAAACAACCAAUGGAAUCUAAAUGUCAAAAUCAUUUUUGAAUAGUAUAUAUAUAAGAAUAAAAGUGGUUGAUAUAUGUAAAUCAAAGAGUUCUCGUCAUGAGCUGUACAUAAAAAUGAGAAUUAUAUGUGAAAGCUUCUUAUUCCAUCACAAAGUAUAUUAUAAUAUCAUAUAUUUUUUUUGUAUAUUAGUACCAUUGUUAUUUUGUAUUUCAUCUCAUACCUUAUCCAGUUGUAGUUAAUUGUAUACUAAAAAAAGUUAUAUUGAUAAUUUUUGUCUCACGUAUUUGGUAACAAGUCAAAAUCACAAUGUUAUUUGUAGCCACCAAUACUAUAUGCAUCUUUCUCUAUGUUAAUAUGUUACAUCUUUGAUUUAGAGCCGGUUGGUUUUUAACUUUUUAAAAUUAUUUUAAAUUUAUUUUAAGUUAUUUUUAACCUUGUCAAAUACUUCCUUAAUCUUAUGCAAGAAAAAUUAUAAAUCAUUUAUGAUUAAAAAAAAAAAGAAGAAAAAAAGAGAAGUUAAACCAGAUGAAUUUGACUCCUGAUCAUUUCAUUUCUCUUCAUUUUCAGGUUCUUAUUGGGAUGAUAGACACAUGCAUGUCAUAAAUUUAAAUCAAUGGUUCAGAUAAAUCUUCUUCAAUCAUCAUAAUUAAGAUAAUUAAUUACAUUCAUAUAUUUAUUUUUAAAAAUAUUAUUUUAAUAUCACAAUUUUACCUGUACAUGAUAUUUUUCCUAAAUAUAUUUCAACUUUUCUUACUUCUCUUCCGUAACAAAAAACCGUACUUGCUUUUGAAUUUUUUUGGCUACUUUUUUCCUUCCAAAUAGUUUUUAGGAAAAAGGCUAAAAAAAAAUGCCCUUUUAACAAUAUUGAAAAUGGAUCAGAAAUGCACUCCUUCCACUUAUUGGUUUAAAAAUGUCCUUAACAUUUUCUUUAGGUUAAAAAAUACUCAUUAUUUAACAUAAAUAUGACAUGAAUUUUAACUAAACAAGUUAUCUAAAAUUCCCUUAACGUUUUUUUUAGGUUCAAAAAUGCCCAUUAAAAAUUGUGGGAUUGUCUUAUAUUUUGGAAGUAAUUAUCUAAAAUAUUUAUUAUUUUACUCAUGGUUAAGACUUAUUUUUAUUUUAUUAAAUCUCAAGCAUUGAUUUAAAUCUAUAACAUGUGUACUCGUUCAAAUAAGAACUUAAGGAAAAUGAAGAGAAUAAAAAUAGAGAGGAGCCAAAUCUAAACCAGAUUAUUGCAGUAUUCAUAAUUACUCCAAAAAUAUAUUUUCUUGCAAAAGGAAAAAUUAGCGCCACGAUAGUCGAUAUAGUACAAAAGGAAAUUGUUCGGAUGGUAAACAUCCGUCACUUUCAAUUUUAAGAUAAAAAUGUGAGUUCGAGUCACCAAGAGAGCAAAAAGGUAGGAGCUCGGAAGGAGUUAAAAAAAGAGUGCCACGAUAUGGCCUUUACAGAGAUAUAAAUCUCCAACCAACCGUUUUCAAAAUCUUCUAAAAAAGGACAAGAUUUGGUUCGUUUAACUUUGUUGUUGAUUAAUUAGUAUAAAUUUGAUAAAUAAAUAAAUACAAAGUUUGGUUCGUUUAACUUUGUUGUUAAUUAAAUUUGAUAAAUAAAUAAAUUAUUUGUUUUGUCUUUAUGCACGAUUACUCGUUCUAUAACUAACAAUGAUUUAGCUAAAUGUUAUAUUAUUUGAUUUUAAAUUUUUAGAUGCAUCCAUUCAUUAAAAAAAGGUUUAUUUGCAUCGAAGGAGAUAAAAUUGUUGAUUGAUUUGGUUAAUAUUGAACUUGAUAAAUAAGAUGGUUGAAUAAUUAAAAAAAAUUACAUUAGUAGAAUAGAAAGCGAUGUUAAAAAAAAAUGACCACGGAGUCUUGGAGAUCUGGAGCAGGUCUUUCUCUUAUAUCCCUCGUGUCGAGAGCUAUUUCCUUGAAUAUCAACGCAGUGGAGAGUCGCGAAGAGAGAAAUUGAAAGUCACUUGACUGUAAGGAGAAAAGGUCAUUAUAGAAAGAAAAAAAAUUACCUAGAUACACAUUUUAUUUUACCAUAAUCUCUAAAAUCUAUAUCAUUUAAUUUAUUUUUUUCAAAAAUUUCCUCUCUAAUACAUUCCUCCCUUUUCGGAUACAUCCCUCCACUAUGUAUUGUCCUAUUCACUCUCUGAUACAUCUAUAUCCCUCCUCCCCUCUCAAAUACAUCCCUUCCCUAUGUAUUGUCCUAUGCCCUCUCUGAUAUACCUCUACCUCUCAGAUACAUGCCUCUAGUGAUGUAUCCGGAAGUCUAGUAAUGUAUUCGAAAUUUAUAAAUUUUAAGAAAUUUUUGUAAUUUCGAAAAUAGUAGGAAAAUAAUGUAAUUAACUCUAAACACUAUGAAAUUCAUGCAAAUUUUACUAAAAAAAUGUUAGUUAAUCAAAGAUCCAACUGAUCACCAAAAAAUUCCUGAGUAUUCCACCGCUUUCCAACUUGUAUCAUGCAUGCUAUUUGUCCCCGUCCUCAUAUGGUUCAGUACACAUCUCGAAGUGUUACUGUAAUCAUGUCGUCAAGCCCAUUUAAUACAAUUUACACUUGAGUACGUAGGAUUUAAACUUUGUUGAUUUAUAUUUGAGAUUCUACACAUUAAAUUUGACUUAUUAAAUUCAAAAUUAUUACUCCCUUUGUCCUUAAUUAUUUGUUCAUUUUUUUUUAAUUUUUUUUUUCACAAAUUAAGAAAGGAUAGUUUUUUUUUACAUAUUAUACCCGCAAUUAAUUACUUGAAAAUUUUAAAUUUUUAAUUCAUCUACUUCAUAAUUAGUUGAGGUAAAAUGGUAAACUCACUACAUCAAUCAUUGUUUUCUUAAUAGAUAUAUCAAUUUAAAAGUGGAUAAGUAAUUAGAGACAUGACUCUGCUCAUAAUAUACUAGCCCUACCUACAUCGUCCUCCCUAGCUACCCUAGUAGCAGAUAAUAUGUUCCAAUAAGCAACAAUCAUAUGGGGCCUUAGAGGUGUUUUAUUGGUUUGAGCUCAUUUUCCAAGAUUAUAUAUAUAUCAUCUUUUCAAGUCCUUCAAAGGUUGCUUUUGGGACAUGGUUAAUUAUUUUCACCCUAUUUUCAAUAUGCAAUACAAGUGUACUGUAUUUUCAGAUCUUCACAGUUUGACCAUAUUUAAUGGUCCUUUUUGAGACACAUCUGAACUAUAGCUAGCUACACCACCGCUUUUUACCUGAAAUUGUCCUUAUAUAUAUUGCCACUGUCAUAUACCCGAGUCUCCACCGACAGAGGUGUGGGCGGAGCUAAUAGCCUAUAUGCUGAUUCGAGCAAACUUGAUGGAUUUUUAUAACAAUAUAUUUGUGUUAAUAAAGUUAAAAUUCUAGUUUCACUACUCACGAGGAGAGAUGUGUGAUGGUAAAAGAGUCACGAGGGCUUAUAUCCUUUAUCAGACACAUGUAAUUGCAUUGUAUUAUUUGAUGGGCUUGGGGUGAUUUAGCACUAUAAAGUUUGGAUGUAAAUUAAAUAACCAAUUCGAGGCGCGUUAUGAAAGACAUGGUCUUCUUAUACGUCCCAUCCUGGUGCAAAUCUACUCUCAAAAUAUAACAAAACAUUAAUCAACCGUUUUCGCUAGCAUUUGAUCGUAGAUUUCGGGUUAUAUUUUGAAAUUUGCCUUCUAAUAUUUAUUUGGCCAUAAAUUAUAAAUCAUAGUUUUGAAAAUUUAUUUUAAAAAAAGAAUUCAAGUUAACUAAUCCAGAUCAGACACUUCACUUUCACUUAGUAAAGUUCAAUUCCAAAUAAAAUGCAAGUCCAAACGUAAUUUUAAAUUCCAAAAAUUCAAUUUUCAAGUUUCAACUUUAACAUUUAUAACCAAAUGGACACACUCAAAUAAAAGAUCAAAAGAACUACUAAAUUUCUCAAUUGUUUUUGUAGAAAUCUUUAGUAAAUAUUGAAUAAAUUAUGUUAUAGAUAAUAUUUCAGAUGGACACUCAAUUAAAAGUUUUUUUUCUCAUAAAUAAUCACUCAAUUAAGGAUUUUUCAUUUAGAAAAUCACUUUUACUUUCUUUUAUAACCUCAAAUUUAUUAAAAACUUAAUGAUUACGUUACCUUAAAACUAUUUGAGUAUACUAUACAUAUGUAGUAAUGAAGUCAAUAAAUGUAGAAAUAUCCAUCCAUGUAUGGUUAAAUGAACACAAAUGUGGCAGUAAAACAUUUGACUAAUAAAGAUAGGAAAAAUUAGUAAUCAAGUCAUAAUACCUAACAUAAUUAGUCAAAACAAUAACACUUUAAAAUAUUUAUUUAAAAUGUCAGAAUGGCAAUAUUUUAGAAAAUAAUUUGUAUUCAGAUUUUAUUAUUUAAAUUUCUUUUUAUUUAUCAAAACAGUCCUAUAUUGGACCAAAUUCUAAACCAAUAACCGUUUAAAAGAAAAAAUAAUUACACCACUACCCAUUACCCUUAUUUCCCCACCUUUCACGUUUUCUUUCCCCCACCUUUCACGUUUUCCAGCUUCUCUUUCUUCAAGGUUCUCACAAAUUGUUCAACAAAAUCUCUAUUUUAAUUCAAGAAAUUUCUCGAUUGUUAAACGAAAUCUCUAUAUUAAUUCAAGAAAUUUCUCGAUUAGCAAAGGUAAUUCCAUUAUUUACUGAGAUUUAUUUUGAUUUUUUUUUUAAAAAUCACCGAUUAUGGUGUAUAUUUCGAAUUGUAUAUAUUACGGAUUUUCAGUCAAUAUUUUCAAUUUUUAUAUGAUUUUGUUUAGAUAUUCAUCAAAUAUUUAUGUAUUUCAGAUUUUUAGUCUUUUAAACAAUUUUUUUCAAAUUUUUUUUUUGUGAUUUGUUUUAAUUUUUCAGAUUUAGUAGAAUCUAAAAAUUCAUUUAUAUGUUUAUUUUGUUUGAUUUUUAAUACAUUUAUAUUUGAUAAUAUCGAAAUUUGCUUUUAGGGUUUUAGAUUUUGGGAAAAGCAUCUGAUUGUCUACAAUGACUGAAUCAAUCAAAAUUACUAGAGGUAUACCAAAUAAUAUUCAAAAUUUUGGGGAAUUUUCCUCAUUUGAUUUGUGUAUUACCCAAGUUUUGGAGAAUUUCCCUAAAUUUUGUGGGAAUUUUCCUCAUGACUGUAUUAGUAAGACAUUUUUUGUAUUUUAAUCAUAACUAUAUUAGUAUGACAUUUUUUGUAAGACAUUUUUUGUAUUUAUGUGUAUACUCUCUGCAGUUUUAAUCAUAAUUGUAUUAGGAAGACAUAUUUUUGUAUUUUAUUUUCUUAAAGCAAUAUAAGUUUGAUGAAACCAUAAUAUAUAAAAUUGUGAUGAAUACAUUAUAAGAAGGGAAAUACAAACUUAUUUGGUAUUCAUUUGACGUUUGGAAUACAAAAUGAUAUUGAAAUACAUCCUGAUUUUUGGAAUACAAACUGAUAUUGAAAUACAUCCUGAUUUUUGGAAUAUAAACUGAUCCAGAGAAAUAGUAACUACAAUUUUAAAGUGAAAUUAUAAUAAUAUAACAAGAUUGAAUAUUGAAAUAUAAAUACAAUUUAGUUUGAAUACAACUUAUUCUAUGUUUUAUGUUUUCACCAAAAAUGUAUUUUCAAUAUCAUUUUAUUUUACUACUAAUUUGUAUUUAUAUUUUUUUUUCUUAAACUAGAAUGCCAAAAGAGUUGUAUUCAUUAUAAUUCUAUACCAAUAAUAUUUUGUAUUUUAAGUUAUACAUAUCUUUAGGUAUAUAGAUUGUAUUCCAUUUUUUAUAUAAUUUAAAUUUGUGACUCAUAUAAUUUUUCAAUUACACUUUAAAGUAAUUUACACGUUAAAUACACAGAAAUAAAAUAAAUUCAUAACAUGAAUAUGAAUACAUUUCGGUUGAACACAUAUUCAAAGAAUUCCAAACAAGUAAAAUAUAUAAAACAGAGGGCAUUAGAAAUUGGGAAACAAUUCCACUCUAAUAAGAUAUAAAAUUCAAGCAUCAUGAACUAAACAAUACGCGGUCCAUUCCUACACGAACACCUAUUGUGCCCCUUAAAUCCACAAGUACUGCAAGAAUUCUUGCUCUUCUUCCCAUAUAGCUCGUUGUACGCCUUGUCACUUCUUGGAUGGACUUCCAGGUAGCUAGCUUCAAAAAGAAAAAAUAUAGAACACACACUCAAUACAUACUGAUCUGUAUUUACAUACAAAGAUUUCACCUUUUAGCUCAACUACAACAAAUUGAAUCCAAUAUUUAAUUGUAUCCAGAACUUACUACAAGGCAACAAAUAUUGAUAUACAAUUCUUAAUUACUUUAUGAUUUUAAUCCCUAGUUGUACUCUGUUCAGUAUAUCACAUAAUUUUUAUGACUCUAUCCCUAUAUUGUUACUAUUUACAUUAACUUAAUGGGAUAUACUAUAUGCAUUAAAAAAAACAGCUUCCAAACUAAAAAAAACAAACAAUUUCAUUCGUUCUACAUCAUAAUUUGGAUACAAAACAUCCAAAAAAAAUGGGAUACGAAAAUCUCAUAUUGUUACGAUUUACAUUAACAUAAUGUGAUACAAAAAUAUUGUAUGCAUUCAAAUAAAAAGAAAACUGCUACGAAACUAAAAAAAAAUCAAGCACUUUCAAUCGUUCUACAUCAUAGUUUGGAUACAAACAAUCCAAAAAAGCUAAAAAUAUCAAACCAUACAAAAAUUUCACCGAUUUCUUCAAAAAAAAAAAUCAACCCACUAUUAUAGUCGAGAUAUACGAAUAUAUCAUCCAAACAAAUAAAAUAAUCAACAAAAAUAAAAAUACCUGAUGUCGAAAUUUCUUGAAUUCAAUGGAACUGACGAAAUUAUAGUCGUGAAUUUUGAAAACCUCUGUUUCAAGAAUAUGCCGAAUUCAGCUCGAAGAAGCUUUGAAAAUUAUCAAUUGAAUUAUUCGGAAGACAAAACUAUUUUUUGCAAAAAAAUAAUUUGGAAUUCUUAAGAACAAGGCAAAAAAAUGCUCGAAAGAAAAAAUGGCAACAUAUGCUCUUUCAAAACGUAACUAAUUUAUAUUUAAAAUCUUUUUUCCCUUUUUGAAAUUUUCUGUUCCAUGAUUUUCUCUAUUAUGUUAUUAAUUAUUUGUAUUCUUUCAAAUUAAUCAAAAUAAAAUAAAUACAUAACUCAUCCCUUAACAAACUAAAAUAUUGUCAUUUUAAAUAAAUAGUGAAACUAUUGCUAAGGAGUCCCACUAAAAGCUAAAAUAUUGUUGUUUUGAAAUUUUUUCCAGAAAGAUAUGAACAACUUUCAAAUAUAGUAAACAUAAAAAUCAUAUUUGUAUGCUAUAGUUAUAGUUUGCAUAAUUGCGCUCCAUAACAAAUUUUAUGUUUGCUAUGGAGCUUUUUGAUUUUGUAUAAUUUUGCUACAAACAUUCUAAUUUUAUACAAAUUUGUUCAGUUUUGUAUAAAUUCAUUUAUACAUUUGUAAUUUGUAUAAUAAGAUUUGUAUUUAUAUAAUUAUAAGUGUAUAAGAUGAAAAUAUAUGUAUUUAUAUUUGUAUAUACAUUUUUCUCUCGCUUUAUACAAACACAAACACAUUUUUAUAUCGAAAUGUAUAAAAUGACUAAUUGUAUACCAAAAAUGGCUAAUUAUAUACCGAAUCGAAUGACAAAAAAAGAAAAUAUUUGCUGCGAAGUACAAUUAAAAUAAACUAUGCCUAUAACAUUUAAUUUAAAUUAAUAAUUUGAUAUUUUAUACAAUUUUCCCAAAAGAUAUUGAGCAAACCUCUUGUUUUUCCAACAGUAGGAGAAAGUGUGAUAUGUCUGCCAUGGUAGGGGACCAAUCCCAUAUAUUUCACAGCCAUUUUGGUUUAUUGGACAGAAAAACAGUGGAAUCAUAAUAGAUGUUUGUUUGACCUUAACUUGUCAAAGAUAUAAAAAAAUAAAUAUUACUCUGAUUCCUCUAUCUCAAUUUAUAUAAUUUUUUUUAUUUUUUGAGUAUUAAAUCGUUUAAGUUUGAUUAAAAAAUUUAAGUAUGAAAUCUUCAAUUUUUUGAAAUGAAAUUUAUAUAUUUGUAAACUACAUAAAAAGUACUAUAAGUCACAAUAAUUGAUAAUUUAAAAUAUUUAAAAGAUCUAUGAAAAAUUUACAAUAAAAGAUAGAUUUAUUUAGAUCUUGAUAUAUAAAAGUGUCACAUAAAAUGAGACGGAGGAAAUAAUAGAUAUUGUUUUAACGUCAUUUGAAUGCAACUUCCACUAAAUUGUAGGUUAGUUACUAUUUACUUACGUAGUACAGUUAGCUAGCUAGCUACUUUCCUUUUAGUACCCAAAAGCACAGGCCAAGUUUCACUCUUUCUGACAAUUCCUAUCCCCACUUAGCAAGUACUACUAUUCUUUUUCUUUUAGUUUUUUUUAUUUGGUAUUCGAUAUUCAUAUUAGAGUCUGGUUAAUUUAAAUUUGUAUGGUGUAAGACUCAUUCGAAGGGAAAACUAAAGAUUUUUUUCAUAUUCAAAACUUAAACUUGAGAUUCCUAGUUAAAGGAGUAGUCUUAUCUACUGUUGAUGAUCUUAGCUUAUAUUAUUUACCUACAUGCAUGCUUGCUUCAGUUUACUGUACCAAUAAUUUGUUAAAUUUGGUCCCCAAAAUGUUGAUUUUGUGGCCAUUGCAAUUUAGACUUUGAAUAAUUGAAAUAAAAUACAGAAACUUGUAUAAAAGUGUAUUACACAUCUCUAGACUAGCUAUAAUGACUAAUAAAUUUAUCUUUUUUUUUUGUAAUUUUCAAUAGCAAUUCUUGCUCAAAACCCAAUCAAAAUCUCCACAAACGACUUCAAAUUGUAUAGACUAUUUCCAACAAAUAUAUAACAAUAUGCACUCGAACUUUUUCACAAAAAUUAUGUUCGAAAUCCUAAUGACCACUUCUUUAAGCUUGUUCAAUAAUAAUGAGCUACCUUUCUAAUUUGAUUUUCAUGAUCACCCAAAGUCUUACAAAAUCAAUACUUAACCACCAUUUGAACUCAAACACAACAACCUAUCUAAUCGAUACUCUCAACUAACAAACAAUAUGACUUAUAAUUUUCAGAUUCAACUUUGACGAUAUGAACUCGAAAAUUUCAACAAUAGAGGAAAUAUGAUAUAGUAGUUUAUAAUUUGUAAUAAAGUGGGAAGUGGCCUAUAUCGAGUAAGAAAGGUAGUUUAUCAACAGAGGUAAUUCCCACAAAAUACAAUUUUUCCUUCGCACGAAAUUCUAGAUUCGUCACUGAAAUAAAGCGAUAAGAAUUAGCAUAUUGGGUUGCCCCACAAUGAUCAACACGAGAUUUUUUGAGACAAUUUGAAAUCAGUACAUUUUGAUUGAUUUUGAAAUUUGACCCCAAAUAAGUUAUCCAUUGAUACUAGGAGUGGAGUUCAAAUAUAGAGAGCAAUUGUAUGUAUAGUCUCUUUGAUAAUCAUGGCCAUUUGUUAAAAGAUUUCAAUCCGCUACUCAUUAACAAGCUAAGAUUCAAUAUCAACUUGCAUUUUCUAGUGGAAAAAGUGUAUAUAUUAUAGUGUCUAUAAAUGGUUAUUGGAUUUAGUAGGGGUGUACAAAAUUGAAUCAAACCGUAAAUCGAGUCAACCCGAAAAAAAACUCGACUAGUGGUUUGGUUUUGAGAAAAAAAAACCCGACUAUAUUUGGGUUGGUUUGGUUUUAACUAAAAAAAACCAACCCNNNNNNNNNNNNNNNNNNNNNNNNNNNNNNNNNNNNNNNNNNNNNNNNNNNNNNNNNNNNNNNNNNNNNNNNNNNNNNNNNNNNNNNNNNNNNNNNNNNNNNNNNNNNNNNNNNNNNNNNNNNNNNNNNNNNNNNNNNNNNNNNNNNNNNNNNNNNNNNNNNNNNNNNNNNNNNNNNNNNNNNNNNNNNNNNNNNNNNNNNNNNNNNNNNNNNNNNNNNNNNNNNNNNNNNNNNNNNNNNNNNNNNNNNNNAAAUACAUAAUCUAAUUUUAAUUUCCUUUAAUAUUUAGUCAUGUAACUAAUACUUAUUAAACUUAAUUUUAGCAUGAUUUAGUACUUUUAAAUUAUGAUCAUUUUCAUUAUGAUUUGUUAAUUUGUAAUAUUUGUUUUACGCGAUUUCAUUAUUAUUAUUAUUAUUUUUGUUGGAUAUUUUAGUGUCAUUAAUCAUAUCAUAUUGUGUUAUAUUUUUAAGAAACAUCUUAGAUAGUUGUAUUUUGGUAGGACUAAAGAAAUAUUUGAAGUACAAGUAAAUUAUAUGUUUGUAUGAAUACUUUACCAGAAAAACCCUAAACAACCCGAAAAACCGAAAAAUCCGAAAAAACCCGAGGUUGAAAAACCCGAGUUUUAUUGGUUUGAUUUGGUUUAUGAAUUUAAAAAUCCGACACAAAUGGUUUGGUUUGAUAUUUGAAAAACCCGAACCAAUCCGGCCAUGUACACCCCUAGGAUUUAGUUUGUAUCAUGCCCAUAUGGGUCCUAGUGCCCAUUUUGGGUGUGUUUGGCAGGAAGGAAACUAAAAUGUUUGCUAUGAAAAAUGAAUGAAUUUCUUAUUUUAUUUUUUAAUGUUUUGAUACGUAAAUAUUUUUUUUUUUUUUGUUUCAGCAUUUAUAUAUAAUUUGAAAAACACUAAGGUGGUUGGGAUGGUGUGGGUAGUGGGAGUUUGGGCGUGACGAACAGUGGUAAAGCCAAAAUUUUCAUCAAGGGGUUCAAAAUCUGAAGAGUAAACACACAAACUAGCUGAAGGGGGUUCAACAUUUAUUAUAUAUACAUAAAAAAAUAUUUUAUCCAUGUAUAAAUAGUAUAAUUUUCUGUCGAACCCUGAACUCAAGGUGGGUCCACCCCUGGUGACGAAGGUUGGAAUGAUCAAGAGAUAGGGAUUAGAUGCCGUUGGGAUGAAGAGGAGACAAUAAACUUGAAAGACUAUUUAUGAAAUCUAUUUUCUCUACUCAUACUAAAAAGCCAUUUUUCUUAUUAUUUUUAAAAAAAAUUAUUUUUUCAGGAAAAAAUAUUUCGACCAUCCCAAUUAUCUCUUGAAAAUGUAAUUAUGGUUUUCUAAGAGAUAAAUUGGGUGGGGAACAGAAAAUUUGGCAAAUAAAGCAGCUAAGAAAAAUAUAUACUAUAAGGUAGUAUUACUAAUUUCACUUUCCUAAAAUGUGUAACACUGUUCACAUUUAUUGGAGCAAAGUUGAAAAAGUGACAAUCUCCACAUAUUCAGGGAAUUGUUUAAUUGCCUAAGAUUUUUACAUCAACGACAACGAACAGUUGAUAUAUGUAUUUUAUGUACGUUUUAUCACUUAACAUGCAUGUUGUUACAUCAUUAUAUUACUUAAUCGUGAUUAAAUGACGUACGUGUACAUACGUAUUUGGUAUAAAUAACAAAUGUAUAAUCUAUUCAAUCUCAGAAGGAUUUUUUAAUAAACAUUUGAUUUAUUUUUAGGUUCGACUAAUUCAAAUUUUCACCACAAAAUCUCAUUUUGUGAGGUAAAACAUUCUCUACUAAAGACAAUUUUAUACUCGUAACUCAAACCUAAAAUCUCUCACCAGAAAAUCUCAUUUGACUAAUUUGAAUUCUCACUAGAAAGUCUCAUUUUGUGAGGUAAAAUACUCUGUACCAAAGAUAACUUUAUACUCGUACCUCUAAUUAAAAAUAAAUAAAUAUUUAUCACUUCACCGUAACUUAAAAAAACACAAAAUCAUCUCUAUUUACUCUUUAAAAAGAAUCUUUCAGUAUCCCUCUUUGUAACCUCUGACCCGUCUAUUGGCAGACCAAUUUUAGUGUCAUACAAUGACAAUACAUUCUCUUGAAGUAAGUGUAAGGGGUUGGUGGGGUGGGGGAUGUAAAAAGAAAAAAUACAAGAAAAGGGGGAAUUAACGAUGACUCAUUGCAAUAAUAAAUAAAUAUUGGGAUAUUUUUAAAAAUUAUACAUUACAUCACAAAAUAUUAUAUCAAUGUAGUCAUAUUUUUAGUUUAUACAUGCAUAACUAACUUGCUUUUGCAAUAGAGUAGUAUUUAUACACAUGAUAUACAAAAUUAUACACAACUUUAUACAUUUAGUCAUGAAGACAAUGCAUUAAUCUUGUAUAAAUAUGUAUAAUAAUAAUGUAUAAGAAAUGGUUAUACUAUAUGUUUACAUAAUGAUACAAAAUUAUUGAAUUUUGCCUACUAUAAACUUCAACCCACAAAAAUGAAAAAAAAUCCACCAAAUUAUUACUCAAAUAAAAAUUCGAAAUAUGUCCUUCGGAUGGUUCAGUUGGUUUGGACUUUGGAGGGUGGUUAUCCACACAGAUGAUUCAGGAUUGAUCCCCACUCAAUGCCUUUUGAGUUGAGCUUGUUGUGCGAUUUAUAUCCUCUGUGUUGUUUGCAGGCUAUUACACAGUGAGAGGUUUAUUCGAUGCGCACAAAGUGCUCACCCGAAGGACAGAAGCUGUGACAGAGAUUGUAACAACUACGGAUUAUCCUGGUGUUCUAAAAAAAAAUCAAAAUACUUAAUAAUAUCGGAUCAUAUUUUUUUUAAAAACGUGUUAUGUUGUUAUACUAAUCUAUUAAAUGAAAAAAAGGUAUAUAUAUAUAUAUAUAUAUAUAUAUAUAUAUAUAUAUAUAUGGUGAUAUAUGGUGUUCUUUGUCUAUUGGAAAAUCAACUUUUAUGUAUCCAAAAAGAGCUAAAAGUUGUUGGACACGUCAUUGAAGGUGCCACACAAUUUUUAAUGCCCAAAGAAGUCUUAAUUUGGGGUGAAAAACUUCAAAGGAAAAAUUAGUUAGAUAGUACCUUUUAAUAAAUAAUUACUGAUUUUAGCGAUAUUUUUUAUUUAUUAUCAUUUAUAGCAAUACAUAGCAAUAUUAUGUUAAAUCUGCAAUAUGUAUUAAAAGUAAAUUAGGUAUGCAAUAUAUAUGUAUUAUAACUGGUUUUUUUAAAUAUAUUAUGCUUGUUUGGUAAGAAAUUGACACAAUUGUAUUAUAAAUGUAUUAAAAUGUGUGAUAAAUGUAUUAUCUAUCAAUAAAACUUGUAUUAUAUGUGAAUAAUAAACUGUUCUUUGUAAUAUAUAUUAAAACUGUAUUAUAAAUACAGAAAAGGGUCAAAAUUGCCUCUGAACUAUGCGAAAUAGUACACUUAUACCCUCCAUUACAUUGUAUUAUAUGUGAAUAAUAAACUGUUCUUUGUAAUAUAUAUUAAAACUGUAUUAUAAAUACAGAAAAGGGUCAAAAUUGCCUCUGAACUAUGCGAAAUAGUACACUUAUACCCUCCAUUACAUUUUUGGGAUAAAAAAUACCCCCGCCGUUAUCCCAGGAGACCACAAAUACCCUCAAGAGUUAACACCCCAAUUUUUUAGUGACGUGGCAAGCCACGUGGGACUAAUCCCUCCACCUAAGCUUUGCCAACUAAGAUUCACUACAAAAGACUUGACCUUUAGUGGCGACAAAGUCGCCACAAAUUUCCAAAAUAAUUGCCGCUAAAGGUUGAGUGACUUUUAGUGGCGACUAAGGCUCCAACAACCAUUCGCUAGUAAAACCUAUUUUUUCAACAAAAAAAUAUGAUAAUUAAUUUUCGAUUGCAACCUAAUUUUCUAAAAUAAAUAACUUGCAAUAUUAAUAUUAAAAACAUACAAUAUUAUUACGAAAAACCAUCAAAAUUACUUCUCGAUUCAAAUCUCCUACUAUAUAAUGCAUCAUUGUACAUUUUAUACAUUUACAUAUGACAUAAAAAUAAAACAUACAGUGUCUUCAAACUCCUACUUAAUCAAUAUCAUUUUUGUUUUUAAAAACUAAUGAAAAAAAAACACAAAAUUAGAAUUAAUGUUAAAAACUUUUAGUGACGAUUUUCUGGGCUUUUGUGGCGAAUGUUGUUGCCACUAAAGGUCUAGUUCUUUGUAGUGAAUCCUAGUUGGCAACGCUAGGUGGAAGGAUUAGUCCCACGUGGCUUGCCACGUCAAUAAAAAUUUGGGGUGUUAACUCUUGAGGGUAUUUGUGGUCUCUUAGGAUAACAGUAGGGGCAUUUUUUAUCCCAAAAUAUAACAAAGGGUAUAAGUGAUCUAUUUCACAUAGUUCAGGGGCAAUUUUGAUCCUUUUUCGAAUAUAUUACAAGUGAUUUAGUGAAAAAAAAUGUUAUUGCUAUAAUGGUAAAUAUUUUUUCAAUGCAGUAUACUUAUAUAAGUUUCCCAAAUUUUAAUGGGUUGAGUUAUAUACAAAACUGUGUGUUUAUGAAAUUUUAUGUCAUUGAUAUAAUUAGAUCGAAAAGCUUCUAAGAAAGUCAGCCGAAUAAAAUAGGGUCUUGCUUAAUUGUGAAAGAAGGAAUUUUGGUUAAAACGUAGAUAUUGUACCACAAGAAUUGUUACUGACAUUUUACACCUAUAACUUUAAAGAUGAGCCACUAAUAAUCCAACGCCUAAUAAAAGUAGAGAAAAUUUUAGAAAUAGCAAACAUAAUACACAUAAUAAGGCUCUAUAGCUAUAGUUUCAAUAAUUGUGCUCUAUAAUAAUAGUUUCAUUUGCUAUGGAGGCUGCGGUUUGUAUAUUUCUGUCCGUUUGUUUAUUUCGCUUGUGAAUAUACCACUAGGGUAAGUAUAUACAAAUUAUGUAUUUAGACAUUUAGGAAUUUUUUAGAACUCCAUUUGUAUAUUUCAUUUGACAAUAUACAAAGAUGGUAAUUUAUUAUGAUUUUUUCAUAAAUCGUAUACAAAUAACUAGGAUAAGCAUAUACAAAAUUCUGAAUUUGUACAAUCAGAAACCAAAUUAUACAAAUCAGGCAAAUAAGAAUAAUCGGAGAAAUCGUAGCCACAAAUUACAAUGUUCUUAAACUAUAGCUAUAGUACCUAAUAUAUAUAGGCUAAAUGUUUGCUAUUCUGCAUAAUUUUUCCAUAAAAGUACUAUCAGAAACGAAAAUAUACUAGAUAGGUGUGUACAUGACCAGGUGGAUUUGAUUCUUUUUUUAAAUAUCGUGUCAAAUCAUUUGUGUAAAAUUUUUAAAUUUAUAAAAUCAAACCAAACUAAUACAACUCAAUUUUUUUAACCUCAGAUUUUUUCAGAUUUGUGUCAUUAAAAAGUCAUAACGAAAAUGAUCAUAAUUUAAAAGUGGUAAAUCAUUAUAACAAGUCUAACAAGUAUUAAUUACAUGAUUAAACAUUAAAGAAGAAUUAAAUUAGCUUAUGUAUUUUAAAUGUCUAAACCAAUGUAAAACUAAAGAACAAAUAUUUAACAUUAUUGUCAUUUUUAGUGUUGAAUUUUUUAUUUUUUUAGCAUUAGUAUUGAUUUGAUUUUGAUUUGGGCUUUAUUAGAGUUACUAAUAUGAAAAGUUACCUAAAUACACAACUUAUUUUACCAUAUUUUUUGAAUUCCCUAUCAUUUGGAAAAUUUAUAAAAAUUUCUACUCUCUCCUAUUCUCAAAUACAUCAAUUUACGCGAUGUAUCGAUCGGAUACUGUCACUCCCUGAGCCUACACCCUAGACGUGGUCGGCACUCGAGAACUAUUGUUGGCUCCAAGCGAACCUUUGGCCUGACUCAACUCUCAGCGGAAGACUUACUCAUCAAUUAAUUAACUCAAAACAUAAUUUUACUCAUAGUCUUUAAAAGAAAUAACUUAUAAUUUAUCAGAACAAUCACUGGCCAAUGAACAACUCAAGUCUUAAACAUUAACAAUAGAAAUGAAAGGAUUCCUCAACUACUACUGUUUAUGAAGCCUCUACUAACUGAGAUGAACGUCGGGACAAGAUCCAUGACAUUCUAAUAAACAAAGCUGAAAAUGUAAACUCAAUGUGAAACCCUCUGGAAAGCAAGGAGGCUCACCAACUCUAGCUGAAACACGAUUGGAUCAACGGAGCGCCGGUUGAUGAUCCUGAUUACCUGUAUCUGCGUCAUAAAAUGAUGCAAACCAAAUGUCGUCAUUGAAUGUACGAGCAUGUAAGGGGAACUCUAAAGCAUAGACAUAUAAUCUUGAACUGGAAGGAAAGGAACAUACUUACCUCACCUCAACUCAACUCAACCUCAACUCAAGGAAUACUCAAAGAUACUCAAAAUUUACUCAAACUCAGGGAUGUUCAACUCAGUUCAAUAUAAAACGGUAAUAAAAAUGCAUUAUAAAGAAAGCUUUUAAAACCGUAGAUAAUAACUCAAAGUAUUUAAAAAUACAAUAAUAACUCAAUUUGUAUAUAAAGAUACAAAAUAACUCAAUCUGAGAGAUUCUCUAACCGACAACCAUCGCUAUGAGCUAUGUGAUGAUACAACUUCUCGUCCACGCUACCAGAAUUGUCUUAUACCUUGCCGGAGUAUAAGACAUCCUCAACUUAGGGGAUCCACUAAGCUAUGCUUAAAAAGCAAUAAGGAAUCAUCUAAAAAAUAUGAUAUUUUCUACCCAUGUUGGCUACAUGGUUUAUGAAGACUUUGAGUUGUUUGAACUCAUCCUCAUAUCGGUGCUCAAUACUACUCCCAAAAUAUACUCAACUCAUAUGUUUAAAACCAUUUCCUCAUCCUCAAACUUUGAGAUUAUUACUCAAAAGAUUUCUCUUAAAAGAGAUAGUACUCAAAACUCCACAUAACUCAUUUGGAAAUCAAAGUUUCCUCCUUAUUUUAAAUGUAAAAACAUUUACUCUUGGAAUACUUAGUUCCCAUAUAUUCAUUUUGAAAAAUGAAAUUCAACUCUCCUCAUCCUCAUACUCAAGUCUUAAAACAAGUUUUAAAAGAUUGUAAAAGACUCUUCAACAUGACUCGAAAGAACUCUCAAGACUUUACUCUUAACUCUACCUUGAAUUUAAAUUAUGAAUUCAAGGGUUAUGAUUCAUGUUAUGAAUGAUCUCUCGAUAUUUAGAUGUAGUUUAGAAUGGUUAGAAUCAGAAAGGAGUGAAGGUAUCCUUUAAAAGAACUCAGACAAGCCAACCGACGGAAAAAAUGAGUGGGGGCAGGUGACCCUGGCGUCAACCUUUAAACUAUAGAACAUAUUUUCUGGCGCACUGCUGGGGCGGCGCGCCAGCCCUUACCCAGAACUUUUCGAUGAAUUUUCUUCUUCGAUUUUAGGCCCGAAUUCACCUAGAAUCGAAUGGUUUGUUUCAAACUCUGUUAGAUUCGUUUAACCAACUUAAUUACAUGAAAGUACACUCGAAAACAACCCUCAAACUCCUAACAUUCAUCUCAAAAAUUUAUCAAACCUCAUUAAUCAAAGAACGAAACUCAAACUUACUCAUCAAGAAUUCAAUAUACCCAAACUUGUAGAUGAAAUUCGUGAAAGAAACUCAUGAUUGGUGUGUAGGUGAACGAACCCAUAACUAUGAAAGCUUACAUACCUCGAUUUGACGAAACAAAUUCUCAAUUCGAACGAAAUCUUGAUCGUUCUUCCUUUUCUCCUAUUUUCUCCUCUUGAACUCUCUUCUAAAACCCUAAGCGUAAUUUAGAAUUGUGAAAACUGACCCAAAUCAGUUUAGACCCCUAAAGUAUUACUAAAAACAUUUAAAGCUGAUGGGGGUAAGGAAAAUACCAAAAUACCCCUCAUUAAUUCGGGUAAAUUUCCUUAACUGAACUUGAUGACUUCAAACAGGCAUAUCUCCCUCAUUCGAACUCAAAAUCUAACAAACUCGAUGGCGUUGGAAAGAAGAUUCCAAGACCUUUCAUUUGAUAUCGUAUGGGCCACCUAACUCAUCCUUUACUCAAAGUUAUGGUUGUUUGAAGUUGACCAAAAACUCACAACUUAAGCAUAACUUGAUAAAUUCUCAAAUUAGCUCUUUCCAAAUUAGUUCUGGCUAAACUUAGUUCUUUCUAAGGCGGGAUGCUAUAGAUACAUCCUUUACAUGAUGUAUGGGGACGUGCUCGAUGUAUUGAGUCGUUGAGUGAUGUAUUCGAAAUCGAGACACGAUGAAUCGGGACGUUGAGCGCUGUAUUCGGAACUAUAGGAUGCGAUGUAUCAAAAUAUUUUGGGACAUAUUCGGAUUCCACCAAAUUUAAGAAAUUUUUGUAAUUUGAAAAGGAGUAGAGAUAGGAUGUAAUUAACUCUUAACACUGGUCGUUUGGUGUGAUGGAUAAGGGGAAUUAAUCCCCAGAUAAUUUUUAAGUAGCCUCUAAUCCUUUGUUUGGUUGCAUAGCUUGGGAAUAACUUAUCCCAGGAUUAAUAAUUAGUAUUGGGAUAAGUUAUCCCUCCCUUUGGGUGGUAUAGUAAUUCCGAGAUAACUUAUCCCGGAAUAAAAUACAUAAAUGACAAAUAUAUCCCUUUAAACUCUAUUUAUACCCCACUUUUCACAUUUAUGUAUAACUAUUUUUAAAAGUCUUCAACCACCUUAAUCUUAAAUAAUUCUUUUACAAAAAAAAGUUAUUACUAAAAAUAAAUUAUGUAAUACAAAAUUAUAGUACAAAUCUUAUUAUAAAUUUGAUUUUUCACCAAACAAAAAUAUUAGCACAUGUCCUCCGGAUUCCCCCCACCCCCACCCUCCCUACAUUAUUUUUUGAUACCAUGUAUAAUAAUAUUCACUACUCAUUAUUUUUAUGAUAAUUCUUCAUAUUUUUCUAUUAAGAUAUUACACUAUAUAAAUAUAAUUUUUAUUUAUAAAUUUAUUUGACUAAUUCUUAUGUUUAUUUAUAUUUUGAUUUCUCAUAAAUCCUCUUUUACUUUAACAAACGCAAGAUGGAAAUUCUAUUUUAAGCUAAAUAAGAAAAUAGUUUUAUUUUUAAAUACAUACGGCACCAUUGUGGGAGUGCACACACAAAAUUAUUUAAGCUAAAUAAGAGGAAAUUAUUUUAAAAAAUGAAUAAUUAAAGCUCGCAAAGAAUAUAAAAAAAAAAAAACUAAAUAAAGUGAAGAGUAAUUUUGUAAACAAACAACUUGUUCUUAAAAUUUAUGCAAUGCAUAUUAUUUUGAAUACAACAAACCAACACUCAAUAAUAAAUAAUCACAACAUAACUUAUCCCAUCAUAACUUGUUUUCAAACCAAAUGACCCCUGAGAGUUGUGUAAAAUUCUCUUACUAAUAUCUAUGAAUUACAACUUUUAUGGGACCAUUCCAAAUUCUAAGUCUCAAAAACUUGAAAUAAUAUGUUAAAAGAUAAAAAUAUGAAACAAUAUAAGAAAUAUUUAGAAAUUAUAUCAAAGUAAAUACUUUUAUAUAUAAAAUAAAUUUUAAAAAUUAUAUAUAUAAUUUCGGAUUAGUUUGGUUUCAACUGACUUUCUUUAUAGUUAAAAUCAAACCAAUCCAAGUAUAGUCUGAAUUUUUUUUCUAUACCAAAUCAAGUCAAACCAAACCAUUAGUCAAUUUUUGUUUUUGUCAAUUUAACUAAAUUUGCAGUUUAAUUCAAUUUUCGAUUCUAUUUUGUACAUCCUAAUACUACUAGACAUCUUUCAUGCUUUGGACGAUGUUAACUUUGAUCGAGCGAAUAAAGAAGAUCACUCGGCCUCGUUAAAAAGACUGAAUUUGUUGGUUAUUUGCUAAAGAAAUUGUCAUUUGUUUAGUUCGUAUUUAUGUAAGUCUUUAUAUUUGUUGGUUUUUUUCAUUUUUGGGCUGAUGGUAAAGAUCAAUUACGAUCGCCAACCAAAAUAUACAAAAACUUAUACAGUAGUCAUGUCAUAUAUAUUAUGGGAUUUUUUUUUUCUAGUUAGAACGGUUUGGUACAUAUAUUCAUAUUUAUGAUAUGCAUGUUUAUAUUUGAUAUAUAAAAUAUAUACAUUUGCCAGCUAUUAUUUUUCGAGGAGAGAGGCAAAUCCUUUUAUUUGUCCUAAGAAGACUAGUUAUUUAUAAUAUAUACAAAACAUAUCUAUUUAUGUUAUUUUAAAAGCAUAAAGGUCCUUGCAAAUGCAGAUUGAACUUUUUUGUCUUUCAUUAAAAAAAAUUAUAAUAAAAAAAAUUGUUAUUUACUAUUUUCUCAAAUAAUUGUCAUUUAAUUAUUAUCCUAACAUUUAGAAGCUUGAAAUCAAAUCUUUACUUCUUCUUUUUUAUAAUAGGUAAGAAUUCUUAAUAUUUAAUACUUUAAAAUUAACUAAAAUUUUAUUUCUUAAAUUUUUAAUUAUUUGAACCAUAUAAAAUGUCCUAACAUUUAAGAUUUUAAAAUUAAUAUUUUCACCUUAUAUAAUUCUUACUUAUAUUAUGGAAAUUAAAAUAAAUAAAUAAAUUAAAAUAUGAAAAAAAGAGGUUCACAUUAUAAGAAAUAAUUUUCAACCUUUUUAUAUGAAUAUUUAUGGUUUAGAUUGAUAUAACAUUGUUUUGACAUCUAUAGCUACUUUUGAAUAACCUUGUUCUUUUUCUAUAUAGUUCUAUUGAUUGAAUAAAACACGUACACUAAAUGAGUACGCCUAUCAUGACUUGUUUCCUUGCAUAUUACACAUUGCUGAUUGUAUUUAGCUUCUCCAACAUCGAUCUGGUUGUGGUUUCGACGAGUUCGACACAAAUAACUUAUAUUAGCAAUUCUAGCAAAUGGUUUUAAAGAGCGAGAUGGUGGUUUUUGUUGUUCCCGCGAAGCGAAGAUCAUUCGCUUGGCGAAUAAAGUGGGUCACCCUCUUUUUGGCUUCGUCUUCGAUCUCUCUUCGCAACGCAUUUUAAGGGCUAAGACUUUCUCUCGACAUCUUUCUUUUAUUUAAGUCAUUGAUCUCAUAUCUAUAAGCAUUUUUUAUUGUUUCUUCAACAACUACUUGUAAAUGACGUGACAUAAAAAGGAAGUUAGGAAGUACUAUUUUAUUUAUUUAUAACCAAGAAAUCCAUCUGUGAUCCGCCCUUUGGACCUAUCACAGCCUUCUAAACUCGAUGGAUAAUGAGCCCGCCCCUAUACCCCUUCUCCACUUAAAUACCAGGCUUCGCUUUGCAUGGUGUGAGACUUGAACCUGCGACCUAAGCCACAAAUCCUCCACCUUUUGCCACUCGAGCUAGGCCUUGGGAGCAGGAAGCUAAUAUUAUUUAUAUUGAGAUCGAGAAAUUUCUACUCUAAGAUUCUCUGAGAUGGAGAAAACCUGUGCUUGAUAGAAUGUGAUUUGAAUUAUGACAGGACUGCACAUUCUGAAAAUGAUUUUUGAACAUAAAGGAAGAGGAAAGAAGUAGACAUUCAAGCUAGAUUAUACUUUGUUUCACUCAAAUUUUCAUGUAUGUUUAUUUUUACGUUGCAAUAGCAUCUAUUACCUUAUAUUUCUUUCUUUCUUUAAUACAAAAUACAAGUUCCACAUAUUUAUUGAUUGCAGUACCUCCUUGUGACGAAAAGUCAUAGGAUGGUGUAUAAUCUUGAAAGUCACGCAGCAGGAAAUUCUUCUGCACCUCGAGUCAUUCUGAGUCGAUCACUACAAUUAAAGCUUGGACUUGACGAUUUUCCCAUCAUCGAAUGUUAUCAUCACCUUGCCAAUUGCUCUCCUAUCUUUGAGAGCAGUAAAAGCAAGAUGGGCCUGCAAAAAGGCAACAAUAAUGUGCGUUGUUUCAAUCCUAUAACAAUCAACAAAAGCUAAAUCUCUACAAUAUUUGAAAGCUUAAAAACGCACCAGUGACAUAAAUAUGUAACAUAGCUUCUGAAAAAAACCUACACUUACCAUGAAUCCUUUCAGAUGAUAUCAUAAUGCAGUUUCCUAAUUUUACACUUAUUUUGUAUGAUGACUUCUAAGUCGCUUAAUCAUCCCAACAAGUGGUUGCUUUGUUGGAGGUGUUAUAUGAUUACAGUUAGUUUAAAGAUAUUCCUUACUUUGACGACGUAGGGAAAGAACACCAUUGUUUCCAGCUCAAUUUGCUAAGGCAUGGUGAAACCACUAUGCUAGGUUUUCCAAGAGCAUAAACAAUGAACUAGCUCCCUAACGCCUUGAAAAAGUCAUAGCUGGUUGAUCUAUAUUUUAUGAGGCAGUAAACUACCACUUUGACAUCAUUUAAGUGAGCUACACCUAAUGAUCUCAAAGUGAACACUUAACUUUGGGAUUCAAUGGUUUAUGCCAGCUAAUGUUGAGCAAG